UCCCACAUAUCAAGGUGGCCCGGCUCAAGUCGAUUCGGAAGGUGAUUCUGGCUCUGAAUGUGAGCACGUCCAAGUUACACAUCUCCCGAAUCGUGUAAAGAGCAGGAAGAAGAGGGCAUGUCCUUAUUCGCGUAUGGUGGCAAGUGAGAUUGCUAAAAACAAGGCACUUGUGCGCAUGGUGGAAAUUUUUGAGGCAAGGGAAAAGAGAGUGACAAAUCAAUGUGCAAAAGAGAUUGUGGAUCCAACAAGACAGGAGAUUCACGACAUGAUGGCCAUGGUGAUUGCAGACGGAGCCAAACCUGGGAGUGAUGAGCAUUUCUAUGCUUCACAUCUUUUGUUGGAAAAGAAGAAUCGUGAUGUUUUUACCUCGUUUAAGGGUCACAAACCUAGUGAGAGGCUUGCAUGGAUAAGGAGGAUGUGGGAGCUCAACAGUAAGUAGAAUCUCUAUGCUUUAAAUGCUUUGAACCAAACUAUUUGCUUUCAACUUGUACCGUUAUGAACUACUCCCUCCGUCCCAAAAUAAGUGACUCAAAAGUGACUCAACUUUAUACUAAAGUUAGUACAAAGUUGAGUCAUUUUUGAGUCACUUAUUUUGGGACGGAGGGAGUAUGUUAUUUGAUUCGAACAUCUCUUUGUUGCUCGUAUUCAAGGCAAACCGGUUUGAAACAACUAUGUGUUGGCAGUUCAACAUACAACUUUAGUGCAGGGGAUUAUAGAUAUUGUAGCGCACAACCCGUACAAUAAUCUUAGACUACAAUUUCCGAAAAGAACUACAUGGUUGAUUCUGCACAAAGCUGGUUCUGUGGGCAAUUUUUCAUAAUCUAACUUUGGAGAAUAUGGAGGGUUCACACAACACUCCAGAUUAGCAAGGGGGAGAAGGGUGGUUGAGUGGUUGAGUGGACCAACAUGUCGUUUAUAGUGUCAGCCAGAAUUUUAGGCUGCUAGAUCUUCAUCCAACGUUUGGGAUCGCGUGGCAAAUGUUCUUCUUCAACCUCUAUUUUCUUCCUCCCCGCGUGGUUUUCCCUCUCCCAUGUCGUCCCCCAGCCCCAUCCGCCGACUUAUGCCCAUGCGUGCUGCCUUGCCCUCCCCACACGGUCGUGCUUCCCCGCGGCCCAAGGCCAUCCCUCUCAGGGCUCCCCCUGACCUCCUGUUUCAGCGUUGACAACCCCCACACCUGCCAACCUGCUUCCUCCCCUCAAGACGCCACAGCUUACUACCGCACACGAACGUCGUCUCCGUCCCCCGCGAGGUCCUAGUUCGGCCUCGCGGGGGUUGACACUGGUCGCUGUGCUCCUCAUGGCCCCCAUCUUCUGCUUCGGUGGAAUCAACUAGCUCUUGUGAAAUUUGCAGUUACCUGAUGUUUAGCAAACCCAUUAAUUAUAAGAUUGGAUACGUUGGCCAUGGUGGUGCUUUCAAUGGGGAUGCCAUGACAUCUCAACAGCAUCUUGUCCAUGCUAUCGGGGUGCCAUGAAAGCACAAGCCAUGGGAGACAUAUAAUUCGAAUCAUAGGUUAGACCAGGUAGUGAUGGUCAUGCACAGAGAUGAGUGUUAGAAAUACUACUUUAAGAUUAUUGUAAUAGGAUCAUUUGCCUAGCAUUAAAUCACCCACAUAUGAUUAACAGAGAGGUUCGUGAGAUCUUACAGGCUUUCUCGUUGCAGGCACAACAUAGCCCAUGAACUCCAGUGGCGAGGAUGAGCAACAGCAGUGGUGCCGCAGUGAUGUAGUCGUGGAGAGGCAGCAACUCAUCCAGGAGCUUCGCCGGUGGCAGCAGGAAGCCGCCGACACAGCCUUGCGGCGGCCAGAGGUGGAAACGGCCUUCUGAUCCCCUUAGCUCCCCUUUUUUAGGAUCGAUAGUUGAGGUCAUGGUAAAACUUACCUGUACGUGAUGGAUCACACAUACAGGAGAGGAAGUACCUCUCUUUUAUACGUGGGGCUAGGGAACAGGGACCGAAACCAAUAGGUUGUUUGCACCCUGGAUCACAGUGUGUGCGUGAGAGCGGUAUGGUGGGCCACACCCCAACUUUUCUCUCGAUUGUUAGACGAGAUCAAUUCCAACAAUGAGUACCCAUGAAGUGAAAGGUUCUCACGUCAGUUCCUUUCCUCGAAACUGGAAGGAAGCACUCCUCAUCUAAUAAAACAAGAACAUCAAUAAAGGAGGAUCAUAUGAAUUCACUUGAUAUCACAGUUGGCGCAAGAUGCCUCCCUAACUUGCUAAUCGUUCUGAUUUCCUGUGGUGGAGCUCCUAGUCAAGGUUCGUGUUAUCCGGCGAUCUCUUGGCUUGCAUUGACCCAAUAUCUCGCCCCUUCUAUCGGAGCAUGCAGUCAUGCUAUGACACUCAUUGAUUGCGGAUUCUCCUGUAUCACGUUGUGGGGAUCGAAACAGACGGGUGCUCUCGGUAGCUCACAAAGUAUUGGUAUUGUGAUACCCACGGAUGACACCCCACAUCUACUUGUGCCUCUUGUGGUGGUGGUGCCAUAGACUGCUGGCUGGGAUGAGCCUCGUCAUGGGCACCCAACUUUAUCAUCUUUCUUUCCCCCUUGUUACUUGUAUGUUUUUUGCCCGAUUCUUUUACAAAAGAAGUCAUUUUUUUCAGUUUUCGAUCUGGUUUCCCUUAUAAAAUGAAUCAGUCUCUUGGCAUAAAUGCCCAAUUUGAGUAAUAUAUUCGGGUUGGGGAACUCCUCCCUCCCCUGAUUUCUCAAAAAAGUUCGCUUGAUAUUGAAAUUAUCAACAUACAAUGAUGAGACUGGUCAACAAAAUAAUACCAUCAAGUUCAAAGAAUAUAUUUGGUUGAAGAAGAACCGGAACAACAUACAAAUCAGCACUAAGUCUUAGCGCGACUUGCAUUUGCUGCCACAUGAACGAACAUAAACACUCCAUGAGAUAGACCAUACAAAGAAGGAGAUUUGCCUUAGCCACCAUUCGCAUCAAAUUUGUAAAGUAGUUUGGUUAUUUGCAGUGUUUUAGCCUUUAAUCACCACCGAUGGGUACAUGCGUGCAACUUUUUGCAGAGUUCAUGCUCCACCCACCUGACCUCCCAUUCCUUUUCAAUUCAUCUCCAAAUUAGAAUAUAGUAUAUCUUUUGAACUGAAAGUCUAAACCAUGAUUCGUUUGCAUAUUCAUGUUUGUUGCAACGAGUACCUUCGAACAAGACCAAUUUCGAAAAUUUUGAGAACCUUUAAACUUUUACCAAAUUUCAAAUAUUAAAACUUGAUAGUUGCAAGUUGCAAUAUCAAGUUUUUACUAAGUUUCACUAACUUUUACCAAGUUUUAUUCGCUUUUAGGGUUUAGGGUUUGGGGCUUAGGGCUUUGGGCUUGGGCUUUGGGUUUAGGGGCUUAGAGCUUAGGGUUUAGGGUUUUAGUUUUACAUUUCGAAACAUGGUUGAUUUAUCGUCAUUCCUAUAACGUUGGCACAAGUGUGUUAUCCCUUUUGAAGGCGUUUGCCGCAAGAUGGCGACUUAGUUGCAUGUGUCUUUUUGUUAGAUCUUGUGUCUUUGUUGGCCUUUAUGCACUUUGUUAUAAGGUAUUUUGGUCUCGUUGCCUUGCUUUUAUUUAAUAAGAUAAUGGCCGUGUGCAUACUAUGAUGCGAAGGUCAGUUGGUAUAACCUUCCCUUCAGAAGGGAACAAAAUCAUGUUAUUUUUUCUUUGAUAUACAAUUACACUGGAUUUCAUAGAAACUUUUUCAUCCGUUGUAAUUCUCUGAAGGGAAAAAAAUGCUUUCUUUGUACUACAUAAUCAAAUAUCGAAGAUGAUGUGACACUCUAAUCCUGCAUCCCCGAAUCAUGCAAAUCAAAUAGACCCUGAUUGAUGUACACAUUAGUAGUACAUGAUAGCUCUGAAUGCAUGGGCCCAAAUGGCUAAGCAAUCUUAUUGCAACCAAUGGUGUAGGUAGUGGCUAUGCAUCUCAUAGCGAGCUGCCAUUGGUGCAAGCAGGGUCUGGAGCCAUCAAGAAGUCCAGCAUGAUCUUGUUGAACCGAGCCGGGUCCUCGAGCUGUGGAGCAUGGCCCGUUUUCUUGAUGAUCUCCACUCUGGCUUUCCCAUCCAAAGAGCUGAAACCAAAGCGGAAAGAUCAGUACGUGACCAAUAUCUCAACGGAGACCGCCUGAUCAUAGAGGAAAUUAAGCACUCCUAUAGUACACGCGGUAAAAAAUGGUCCGUGUAGUAAAUGAUUUACACAUUUAUACGAGUACCUCUGGAUUCCAGAGGCCUUUUCGACGGGGAACAACUGAUCAUGCUCUCCCCAGACAAUCAACACUUCCUGCAUAUACAACGUCCCAAAAAGGUUAGGUGAGACAGAGUGUCUCAGUAAAUGCGGUAUUAGGUGAACAUACACACACGAAAAUACCUGAGACAAUGGUGUGACUUGAAACUUGUCGGUGCCGACGGUGAUCCCCUUGAAAAGAUGGGUGAGCUGCUCCCUGUUGUCCAUGAACAGUUUCUGACAGGAGGCAACAAGAUCAUCUGGUUCAGUGCUAUUCCUGUUCCUUAUCUCAGACCAACUCCACCACACGACCCUAUCCUGUCCGCCCCCGUCCGUUUGAGGUAAAAGGGGCAAAUAAGACGGCCCAACGCGCGACGGCCCGGACCCAUUUUGUCCGUUUUGUGUCCGGCCGACCCAUUUCGAGCGCAAACUUGCGCCAGUUUUGGGUCGCGGCGGACACCAAACGGACGCGCGCCUCGUCCGCGUCGGGGCCGCGUGGCAGGCGGCCACCUACCUCCCACCCGCCCACAUCAAUGCGCACGGGCGGGCGGCCCCACCUGUCAUCCGCACGUUGAAGGGUCGCCGUCCUUCUUUAAGUGGAAACCGUGGACCGGUCGUCGUCCACACUGCCGCAGGCCACCCCGCGGCCUCCUCGAAACCCGACAGCCCCAUGCCCAAACCCUAGCCAAGAACUCGCCGGCCGGCCGCCCGCAGCCAUGGGGCUCUGGAACUACGGCCGCAAAGGCAAGUACGACCGCGAGGCUGGCUCCUCGUCGGGGCGUCGCCGCGGCUCGGUGAAGAAGGAGGAGCCGGCCUCGCCAUCGCCACCACGCCGGGCCCCCUCGCCACCCGCGUUCUCCAUCGCCCCCGCGUCCGCCGGCGAGCGCGACCGGCACUACAUCCGCGCGUCGGUGUGCCGCCGUUAUUGGAAGACGAGGAUGCCGAUCCCCUGGAGCGACGCCCACCUCCCCAACAACUGGCACCUGUCAGCCGACCGCGUGCCGAUCCUGCCGGUCCCGGCGACCGGCCGUGCGCGCCGCGAGGAGAUCGAGCGCCGCCGCCGCCUCCUUCCGGACGACCUCUACUACGACCCCAGGUACGCCCCCGACUCGCCAUUGUGGGACACUUGGUUCCACGAUGAGCAUGACACGCGGCGGGCGUCCUUCUUCGCCGGCACGUCGACGGGGCCACGCCCAGAGCACUGAGCGGCUGCUCCCCAGGAGCGCGGGCGUAGGCUGGUGCGUGGCCUCACGCCCACGCCUUCGCCGUCGCCAUCUCCAUCGCCACCACCACCUCCUCGCAUGACGGCGGAGGAGGAGGCCUGUCUCGUGCAGCGUGUCAUGGAGGACUCCAUGAACACGCACGACGAGCGGCAAAUGGGACGGCUUGGAGGAGGCCAUGGCACUCUCUGCCGCCGGCGACGUGGCCUUCCCGGAGCUGCAGAUGGCGGCCUUGACGGAGGAGAGGAGGGAGGACGCGAUGGAGGAGGAGUCGUCGGCCGCGUUCCAACAGCUAAUGGGCCAGGGGUGGGCCUGGUCCUGCACUGCUCCGGAGAUGGCCGUCGGUGUGGGCGUGAACUGGCGCGCCACUCCGCCGCGGUCACCGGAGCGGGAGGCGUCGCCACGGGAGGAGGUGGUGCAGGCACCUCCCUCCGUCCAGCCCGCCCCCUUCUACCACGCACCGCCGGCCCACCUGUGGACGCCGCCGGACUACGUCGACCUCGUCAGUGACGACGACGACACCGGCGGCCGCUGAAGACGUCCACGGCGACGGUAUCGACGGGCACGGGCAGGAGCGCGCCGGCGGCGACCGUUUUUUUANNNNNNNNNNNNNNNNNNNNNNNNNNNNNNNNNNNNNNNNNNNNNNNNNNNNNNNNNNNNNNNNNNNNNNNNNNNNNNNNNNNNNNNNNNNNNNNNNNNNNNNNNNNNNNNNNNNNNNNNNNNNNNNNNNNNNNNNNNNNNNNNNNNNNNNNNNNNNNNNNNNNNNNNNNNNNNNNNNNNNNNNNNNNNNNNNNNNNNNNNNNNNNNNNNNNNNNNNNNNNNNNNNNNNNNNNNNNNNNNNNNNNNNNNNNNNNNNNNNNNNNNNNNNNNNNNNNNNNNNNNNNNNNNNNNNNNNNNNNNNNNNNNNNNNNNNNNNNNNNNNNNNNNNNNNNNUAUUGCUUUUCUGAGACGGACGUGAUUUGGGGUGCGGCCGCGCGGUGGGCGCACGCACAACCCAACAGACACAGCCGGACACGGGCGAACCCAUCGGCGCCCCAAAGGGACAAAAUCCGGCCAAUCCGGACGUCCGUUUGGGGUCGUGCGGUGGAGUUGGCCUCAUGUCCCCGAAGGGUACUACUCUUGGUUACAUCUACCGGCUCUACUGCCAUCUUUCGGGGGGCAAACCUCCUUUUCCAAAAAAAAAAAAAUCUACCGGCUCUACUGCCAUCUUUUAAGACCGAAAACACAGCUGAAAAAUAUAGGUGAAGUGGUGAAGUCCAAGGAUUCCGUAUUUUUCGAGGGAAGGGAGAAGGCAAGAGCACGAACGCUGUUGCAUCGGCGUUACUGCAGUGCGCUUGCGUUGUCUGUUUCGAUCGGACGUAUAAAUGCUUACGAAAUCUGGCAACAAGGAAGUAAAUGUUCACAUUACCACUAGUAGAUUUGAUUGUUAGGCGGGCAGGAGGUGUCGCCUAGGCCUAGUACAGCGUUGUGCUUGGAAGUUCUGGUGUCAGUUGAAGCCUCACAAGUCACAACACAAUGUUCUUCUGGUUUCCAAGUUGAAGCGUGCUUCUGGUUUCCCAGGUUUUGCUUUUGUCCCGGCAAGAUGUGAAACAUAAAAUUAAAAAAAAAAACGAUGCACUGCUGACUGCCGCAUCUAUACUAGUAGUUUUUUUUUUCGUGAUGGCACCUAUAGUGUGUGCGGCAGGAUGAUAGGCUGACCUUGUUGACUGGCUUUUGCUUGCAAAUAACAUUCGAGACUUUCACUAAAAAGAAAGUCACAAGUGGCAUCUGUACACGCACGCACCUGGAUGAAGUCCCGGAGGACGAAGUCCGGCGUCAUCAUGGCCGGCGGGGGGCGGUACACGGCCAUCUCCAUCAGCCUCCUCAUGGCGGCGGGCUCGGCCGGCAGGAGCAGCUCGUGCGCGCCGCUCCACCCUUCGCCGGCCCUCUUCAGGAAGGCGCGGUCGUCGGCCGCCGUCUUGAGCAGGUCGGAGCUCGCGAUCACCACGGGGCCCACCCUCCGGGGCCCCGCCGCGCGCGCCAGCCAGUAGGCCACGAACCCGCCGUAGCUCGUGCCCGCCACGGCCACCCGCUUGCCCUUCAGCCCCUCCACCGAGUCCAGCAGCGCCGCGAGCGCCGCGGCCUGCGUGGCCUCGGACGGCGGCGGCGCCGAGGGCGAGUCCCAGGAGCUGCCGCCGAAGCCGAGCAGGUCCGGGACGAUGACGUGGAACUGGCGGGACAGCGGCCCCACCUGGCAGCGCCACUGCCAGGUGGCCCGAGGGCCGAAGCCGUGAAUGAGCAGCAGUGGCGGCAGCCGCGGCUCCCCCGCCGGCGCCCAGUAGUGCAUGGUGCAGGUGCCCGACGAGCCGCCGUCGGGGUAGGGGAGCGUGACCGAGUGGGGGCGGAGGCCGGCGGCGAGGAACUCGCGCCGGGCGAAGUAGUCGAUGAGCGGCACGACGCUGAGGCUGGCCCCCAUGGUGGCUCUAAGCGCCCCUGGCCGAUCAGGCAGAGCAGCAGCACGGCCGCUGAUGCCGCGUCAAGUUCUUGGUGUGCAGCUGUGCAUGGAAAGAGAGUGAGAACGCCACUGAUGUAUAGCGAUGUGCUGGUGGAGCUUAGCUUAAAGGUAGGGGUUCGUUCUGGUGGGAGAAAGGGAGGGUUCACAGCAUCCCGGGAUUGCAAGGGAAGAAGGCCGGUGGUUGAGUGGACCUUGAUUAUACCAUCCGAAUAGUCGGCUAUGGUGGCGCUUUCAAUUGGGCCUCGAUGACAUCUCAGCACUCAGCAGCAUCUACACUCGCCAAACCGCCAUGCUGUGUGAUAGAGGACUAUGUCCCUGUUAAACAGAUACAAGUUGAGCUAGAUUAGGCAAUGAUAUGCAGACGAGAAAUGUAGCCGUCAAGUGGAAGAUUCCGGAUUCGUUUCUUUGGACCGGAAGGAAGCACUGCACUGCACUCGGCAAAAGAAGAAGAAGAAGAACAAUAAAAGGUUGUUUGCGUUCGCGUGCAAUACAAACUGUGAAGUUAUGUAUGCAUCAAGUGGGCAGAUUGCAACAAAAUAACCCCAAAAUCAGCAUCAAAGUAUAUUUGGUGUAGGCAAGAACCACCCAACGAUUAAGAAGAUGCGGCCUGAAGCUUGACGCGACGUGCACUUGCAGCCACGGGAAAGAACAGAAAACAGUCUGUGAGGCAGGCCAGCAGGCAACCACACAGAAACAAAACAACUUUACGUAGUAGUACUCUUGUUCCAGCUAGGACAUGGCGUGGCGUAGACGCACUCAUGAACAAGCUUGCAAAGUCGCUGUUGCAUGCAAACUGUUAGACUGUAUAGUCUCUGUAGUUGUAUACGUACAUAUACGUAUGAUGUAACUUGUAUCCGUUUGUUAUAUAUAUGUGAGAUAGGCCACCCCUAGAGGGUUGAGCCGGUUCCCCCAACUCUAUUGUCUUACAUGGUAUCACGCUAGGUCAACACGCUUCCGCUCAAACCCUAAACCCCGCCGCCGUUUGUCUGUGCGCCGCUGCCGCCGUCCCUGAGAUCGCGCCGCCGCUGCCCCAGCUAUGUCGGGCUCUGCCGCCUCCGGCUCCCCCAUGGCUAGCUUCUUGCCGGCCUCUCUCGCGGCCCUCCUGUCCCGACCCAUCGACGCCGCUGCGGUCUCCACCGCCCCGAUCGAGACGAGGAGCCUCGGGUCCUUUUUCUCCUCGUCUCCGGGGCUCCCGAUCGUGCCGUCUACCGCGGGCGCUCCCUCGUCCGAGACUCGCAGCGACGCGCCGCUCGCCCCGAGUGGGGGCCAGCCGCCGAUCGCCCCGUCUCCCUCGCCCGCUUCCCGCAGCGACGCCCCGCUCGCCCCGCCUGGGGGCCAGCCGCCGAUCGCCUCGACUGGUGGGGGCUCGGCCCUCACCCUGGUGGCGCCCCCGUCGGCCAUGAUGGCGGGGUUUGCUGCUGCGGGCUCGGCCUCUUCGUCAUCUGUUCCUGCAGUCGCGACGGUGGCUGCAACCGCGGCCUCUGCCUCUACGGUGUAUCCGCCUCCGGCAGUCUACUCCGCGGGCUCCUCGCCGCCGCCGCCGUUUCACUUUGGGAACCUCAUCACCAUCAAGCUGUCCGCAGACAACUACAUCUUCUGGCGUGCGCAGGUUCUUCCGCUUCUCGGGAGUCAUUAUCUCCUGGGCUACGUCGACGGUUCUCUCCCCUGUCCCCCUGCGCUGGUGGAUAGCGUGCACGGCCCGGUCUACAAUCCGGCGCACCGUGUUUGGACAGGGCAGGACCAGGCGAACCUCUCCUCCAUCCAGGGGUCGCUCACUCCGGCGGUUGCCGGACUUGUUGUCUUCGCCAAGACUUCUCAUGAGGCAUGGACCAUCCUCGAGCGCUCGUUUGCAGCGCAGUCGCAGGCCCGUGUCUCCGCGCUUCGUCGCCAGCUUGGUGAGUGUCAAAAGCUGGAUUCUACGGCCACCGAGUUCUACAACAAGGUCAAGGGCCUUGCCGACACGUUGGCCUCCAUCGGCCAGCCCCUCACUGAUUCCGAGUUUAACUCGUUCAUUGUCAAUGCUCUCGAUGAGGAGUACGACGCCUUGGUCGAGAUCAUGAACGAGCGGGGCAACUCGAACCCCAUGAUGGCGCAUGAGGUCUUUUCCCGCCUCCUUCUCACGGAACAGCGGGUCGAGUCGCGCCGCUCCAGGGCCAGUGGGGGCUCCCUCUCGGCCAACGCCGCCACCAAGGGUGGCCGCCCUUCUUCCUCAUCCAGGGCCUCUUCGGGGCUGCCAUCGCCGCCUGCAUCGGCCCCCCCUCCUACCGCGACAUUACCGGGGGUUGGUGGCAAGCGCGUAUGUCAGCUGUGUGGCAUUGAGGGGCACUGGUCCUCUAAGUGCCACAAGCGCUUUCAGAAGAGCUUUCUGGGUCUUGGCAAUGAUGGCAAGGACACGCGCAAUUUUGCGCGUCAGGUGGCCAUGGCGGAUCGCCCAGUGUCCACUAAGCAGCAGGGGCAUACUCAGUCCUACUCUGUUGAUCCUCACUGGUACAUGGACUCUGGGGCCACGGAGCAUCUGACGAGUGAGAUGGGCAAGCUCCAUACUCGUGAACCCUACCACGGCUCCGACAAAAUCCACACUGCCAAUGGAGCAGGUAUGCAUAUAUCUCAUAUUGGUCAAGCAUCUCUUCUCACUAGGCAUGCAAAUAGGAGUCUUCAACUUCGCAAUGUGCUUAGAGUUCCCUCUGUGACACGUAAUCUUCUUUCUGUUCCUAAACUUACACGUGAUAAUAAUGUGCUUUGUGAAUUUCAUCCUUUUGAUCUUUUUAUUAAGGAUCGGGGCACGAGGGACAUUCUUCUUAGCGGGCGGUUGUGCCAGGGACUCUAUCGUCUGGAGCAUCCUGCAGUCGCUCGCGUGUUCAGUGGAGUUCGGGUAUCUCCGUCACAGUGGCAUGCUCGUCUUGGUCACCCGGCCACACCUAUCGUUCGUCAUGUUUUGCGUCGUCAUGAGCUUCCUAGUGUGUCCAGUAAUAGAGAUGUAGCAGUGUGUGAUGCUUGUCAGCAGGGGAAGAGUCAUCAACUUCCUUUUUCAGAGUCUAGUCAUGAGGUGAAACAUCCUUUAGAACUUGUAUUUUCAGAUGUAUGGGGUCCUGCUCAGACUUCUGUCAGCGGUCAUAAUUAUUAUAUCAGUUUCGUUGAUGCUUAUAGUCGUUUUACCUGGCUUUAUCUUAUUAAACGCAAAUCUGAUGUGUUUGAUAUUGUUGUUCAGUUUCAAAAACAUGUUGAACGUCUUCUCAAGCACAAAAUUGUUCAUGUUCAAUCCGAUUGGGGGGGCGAAUAUCGCAACCUCGACUCCUUCUUUCAGUCGCUUGGGAUAGCUCAUCGUUUAGCAUGUCCACAUACACAUCAACAGAAUGGUUCUGUCGAACGUAAGCAUCGUCACAUUGUUGAAACUGGUCUUACUCUUUUGGCCCAUGCAUCAGUUCCGUUUCGAUUCUGGAGUGAUGCUCUCACCACUGCAUGUUUUCUCAUAAACCGUACUCCCACUCGUGUCUUGAAUAUGAAGACUCCCGUUGAGGUUCUCCUUAAUGAAUAACCUGAUUAUACAUUUUUUAAGGUCUUUGGGUGCGCUUGCUGGCCACAUCUCCGCCCAUACAACAAGCGCAAGCUUGAGUUUCGCUCCAAAAAGUGUGUUUUUCUAGGCUAUAGCUCUCUUCAUAAAGGGUACAAAUGUCUUCAUGUUCCCACCAAUCGUGUCUACAUAUCCCGGGAUGUCGUGUUUGAUGAGCAUGUUUUUCCAUUUGCCAAGCUUCCUGUGUCCACUGUUGAACCACCCUCCUUGCAUUCAUCCUCUGUUGCUGCUGACCAAUUGGAUGAUAUUGCAUACUCUCCUAUAUUGUUGCCUAACCAUGGUGCAGGCACUGGACGUGGGGCGCUUGGAAAUUCUGGAGGCGCCAGUGGCUCACGACGAUCAUGGUGAGUUGCAUGGCCUCGGCCCCCAUGCCCAUGCACGUCCGGUCGAUCUUCCCGCGACGCAUGCUUCUACGCCCAUGGACUCUGGGUCGGCCUCGCCGCUUCGGCCUGUCGCGACUACCGCACCAGAGGAGUCUGGGUCGGUCUCGCCUAGGCUGGUUUCCUCGCCAUGCAGACCGGUGGCCCCGUCGGCCUCGACACACCCGGCUCCUGAGCCGGCCUCGGUGCCAUGCAGCCCGGUGGCCCCGUCGGCCUCGGCGCCCCUGGCCUCGCUGCGUUGCUCGCCGCCCUCGGUGCCUCUGGCUUCUGAGCCAGCCUCGCCACCUUGCUCGGUCACGCCGGCCUUGUCGCUUCCUCGGCCUUCCUCGCUGGUUACGCCUGGGCCAAGCUCACCGGUCUCCGAUGUGCCCUCACCGGCGCUCUCCGAGGUCUCUCCGUCGUCAGCCGAGCUGUCCUCGCCAUCGUCGCCAUCAUCACCAGAGUCCUCUCCGGCUCCUGUACCUACUGUGCUCCCUCAGCGACCACAUACACGGAGUCGCAGUGGCAUCGUUCAGCCUAAACAGCGACAUGAUGGGACUGUUGCUUGGUUGGCUGCCUGUAUGGCUGCUACUCGUGCGGAUCCUUCCUCUGAACCGCGCACGUAUCAGGCUGCUUUGAGUCUACCUCAUUGGCGAGAGGCUAUGGAGCAGGAGUAUCAUGCUCUCCUUCGUAACAAGACAUGGACUCUUGUUCCGCCACCACCCCGUGUUAAUGUCAUUGACUCCAAAUGGGUUUUCAAAGUGAAGAAGCAUUCAGAUGGUUCUAUUGAGCGCUACAAGGCGCGGCUGGUUGCUCGAGGUUUUCGGCAGCAUUAUGGUCUUGAUUAUGAAGACACCUUCAGCCAGUGGUUAAACCUACUACUAUCAGGCUUCUUCUCUCUCUUGCAGUUACUCGGGGUUGGUCUCUUCAUCAGCUGGAUGUGCAGAAUGCUUUUCUCCAUGGUGUUCUUGAAGAGGAGGUAUAUAUGCGGCAGCCUCCAGGGUUCUCUGAUCCCGAUCGUCCUGAUUAUCUAUGUCGGCUUACUAAAGCACUCUAUGGUCUGAAGCAAGCUCCUCGUGCUUGGCAUGCUCGUCUUGCGACGGCCCUUCGUGCUCAUGGUUUUGCAUCCUCAGCUGCUGACUCCUCGUUGUUUCUUCUUCAGAGGCCUGCAGUUACCAUGUAUCUGCUUGUUUAUGUGGAUGAUAUUAUCCUUGUCAGUUCCUCUCAGUCGGCUGCUGAUGCUCUUGUUUGGUCUCUUGGUGCUGAUUUUGCGGUCAAAGAUCUUGGGCGGCUUCACUACUUUCUUGGAGUUGAGGUUGCUUCUGUGUCCAGUGGUCUGAUUAUGACGCAAAAGAAGUACUCCUUGGAUUUGUUACAGCGAGCUGCGAUGCUUAAGUGCAAACCGACUACUACACCUAUGUCUGCUACUGACAGGAUUACUGCUGUUGCUGGUGAUCUCCUGUCUUCUGCUGAUGCGACAUAGUACAGGAGUAUUGUUGGUGGUUUGCAGUACCUGACUAUCACACGUCUUGACAUCUCUUUUGCAGUUAACAGAGUAUGUCAGUAUCUUCAGGCACCUCGUGAUACUCAUUGGUCUGCAGUGAAGCGCAUCUUGCGCUACAUUCGUUUCACGUUGUCCUAUGGUUUGCACAUUCGACCGAAUCCCUCUGGGGUCAUCUCGGCGUAUUCUGAUGCGGAUUGGGCUGGCAGUCCAGAUGACAGGCGAUCCACGGGGGGCUAUGCUGUGUUCUUUGGUUCUACCUUGAUCGCCUGGAGUGCUCGGAAACAGGCUACUGUUUCACGUAGCAGUACUGAAGCUGAGUAUAAGGCUGUGGCUAAUGCAACUGCAGAAAUUAUCUGGAUACAGUCUUUGCUUCAGGAGUUGGGAAUAUCUCAGUCACAGUCUCCUAUUCUUUGGUGUGAUAACAUCGGUGCUACAUACCUAUCUGCUAAUCCGGUAUUCCAUGCCCGAACGAAACACAUUGAAGUGGACUAUCAUUUUGUACGGGAACGGGUAUCUCAGAAGCAACUACAGAUCAAGUUUAUCUCUUCCAAGGAUCAACUUGCGGACAUCUUCACCAAGCCAUUACCUCUUCCACAGUUUGAGACUUGUAGGCGCAAUCUUACCCUUCUAGAUUCUUUAGGAAGUGGCUAAGAUUGAGGGAGGGUGUUAGACUGUAUAGUCUCUGUAGUUGUAUACGUACAUAUACGUAUGAUGUAACUUGUACCCGUUUGUUAUAUAUAUGUGAGAUAGGCCACCCUAGAGGGUUGAGCCGGUUCCCCCAACUCUAUUGUCUUACACAAACCCACCCAAAUUCUAGCCCAUCAUCAAUAUUCAUUUCAAAAGUGUUUAAGAAACGUUUACUAUGCUUAUGACCAGUGAAGUGAACACCCUCUAAAAUGCAGUAGAAACACGGUGAAGCAGUAAACACACGGCGUAAAACGUGUAAACUCGCACUUGUUAACGAAAAUAUACAACAAAGUUCAGAGCCACCAUUCCACCCCAUUUUGAAUGGCCGGAGGCAUUCAGAUCACACCCUAUCUCUCUCCUUUUUUUCAAUAUUUUGAGCAGACAUUUAGACCAUAGUAGCUCUUCCUCUUUUUUACACAUUACAUUACAUGAUUAUACAUACCUAAAAGGAUUACAAUGUAGUGCACCAUUUGGGCCUCUGGGAUAACUCUGUGUAUGUUUUCCAGAGAGUACCGAUGCUCUGAGCAGGCUUCAGUUUCAGGUUGUGCCGAAUUCUGGCUCAUCCCGUUCAUCUAGGAAGAACGACUUGAUGAAACUGUUGACCUUGUCGGCCCCCUCCAACUGCAACGCGUGCCCUGCGUCCUUGAUGAUCUCUAGCCUGGAUUUCUUGCCUAGAUGCCUGCACUCGCCAACAGAAAACACAUACCGAUUCUUAUACAUCUUGUUGAAAUGAAAAGCAAUGUCGUCAGUAUAUAGAAUUCAUGGAACACUGUCCUGUUCUUUUUACCUGUGCAGUUUGUAGCCAAGAUCGACGGGGAACACCUGGUCCUUGUCUCCCCACAGAACCAGCGUUUUCUGCAGAGCACAAAUCGAACCACACAUGUUAUUUCUCAGAAAAAAAACAUCCAAAGGAAAGUGAUGAUGGAUCAAUGUUGCUUGGAAUGUGCGGCUGGCUGACCUGAGUGAGAGCCGGGAGGGGGUCGAUGCCGGCUCCGCUCCUGAGUAGUUCUUGCAGCAGCUCUGUUCUCUCCUUUCUCUGGUCCACGAACAUCAGCUGCAGCAAACACAGGGCAUACACUUCAGAAAUGGUGUAAAGUUCACCAAAUUAAUAUACAUGAUGAUGUGUUCUUUUUUUAUGGCGGGGACAUGAUGCUCUGUUAUUAGUUACCUCUUUCUACAUUUCCAUGCAAAGUUGGAGUCUGUACUGAAAUUUACGAGCAUGCUUUAAGAGAACUGAACUAAGAACAUUUCUGAAGUCUGCUCACCGACUUGUUUACGAGCACGUAUCUUAUGCAUGGGCAACCAAAUAGGCAAAAAAUCUGAUGUCGCAGGGUAAUUAAGAGGAGAGGGAGGAGUUUGAUGACCCUAGAAAGAAACGAUGCUAGGGACAUGUAUCUAGGCAAAAACAAAAUUUACAGUCUACGGCUAGCUAAUUAAAUGAAGGAAGCCCCAUGCAAAAUUAUUGGCAUAUGACUUGAUCGGACAGUGGCCAAUGGAAAAUGAUGCUAGCAUCCCAAGCUAGCGCCAGAAGACUGAAUUUGAGCGCUUGGGCCAGGCAAACAUCCAUGCCUAGUGCUUCAGCCAGGCUAAUGACCAUAAAAUGCUCCACGCCAGGCUUAUUCAGGGCAUCAACCAAACAACCUCCAGGCUAGGGAAGGUCCAGGCCAUACAAAUCUUUGCCAGGCUUCCAACCAAACAAUCCCUCUUAUCUUUGAGGCUUAAUUGGUUAGUUAAAUGUACGACGUCUAUAUCAAAAUCAUGAUUCCUUAAAAAUGUCAAUCAAUUUUUAAAAAUCAUGAUUCAAAAAGAUUAAUUCCCAAAAAUGUCCUUGGCUUUGAAAAAAUGUUCAGGAAUCUUUAAAAAAUCAAGAAAUAAAAAAUAUUCAUGAAGCUCAAAAGGUGUUCGUGGAUUUAAAAUUGUUCAUGAAUUUUUAAAAAUUAAUGAGUAAUAAAAUGUUCAGCAUAUAUUCGAAAAUUGUUCCAUAUGUGUUAAAAAAGUUCAACGUAUAAUUAAAAAAAUUAACGUCCAUUUAAAAAAUCAUGAAUAAACUAUUAUACUUAGAAAAAAUGAUUGUAAAAAGCUAAACAGGCUUCCGAAAACCUCUUUUUUUAGUGGUAAACCUUGUUUAUUAAUCAAGUACAAGGUUUACACACAAUUGGGUCAUGGGGUACUUCACUAACGCCAGUACCAACUUGGCUACUCCCUCCGUCUCGGUUUAUAGGGCGUGCACGUAGUUCUAGGUCAUCCAUUUGACUAACUAAAUAGUAUGAGUUAUAUGUCAAGUAUAAACUUCUUUUUAGCAACGUAGUUCUUGGCAAGUAUAAAAGUUGCUAAAAAGAGCCACACAACGUAGUUCUUGGUCAAGUAUAAACUUAUUAAUCAAGUAUAAACUUCUUUUUAGCAACUUUUGAUAUUGCCAAGUAUUGGCAGUGCCAAAUGUUGGUAUCAAACCAAUUAGCCUCCUAAUCCCCAAGUACAACAGGAUCAAUGUGGCAUUUUCCUUUUUUUUGGGAGAAUCGUAAUCAAGUCGGGGAUACAUUAUUGGCGGCACUGUCAGCCACGCCCGGCGACCGACCCACAUCGUUGGGGCAUUUUCCUAGCGCAGAUUUGAUCUGCGGCGGUGGACGGUAGCGGUGUCCGCUAGCGUUUUGGAUUUGGACGGAUCGAUCAGCCACACAACGGUGCCACUGGCGACGUACGGCACGUGGCCCACGUACGCACGCACGGACCCAGCCGGGUGAGACCCAACAAGGAAACCGACGAGGUCGACACGUCCGUCCAGAUCUACCACUGUAGUAUACUGAGUACUUCCCCUGGCUUCCGGAGUGCUCCCAGCGAACUGAUUGAGUGAUCGACUAGUUACUGUUGUUUACAAUCCGCAGGCUUAACUUGAGCUCCGUCUACGUCUUGGCAGUUGGCACACGUGACCGGCUUAAGUGCAGCAACAGAGGUGGUACCUGCUGCUUGGUCUAGCACUUGCGUGUACGGCUGAAACGUGCACGCGCGCGCUCGCUCCAUACGCUAAUGCAUGCUUGCAAGCUGCAAAUGAUGUUGCCUGCUGCGUGCGCCAUGCAUGGAUCGGCCGGACCCCAAGCGCUGCGCUGGCGUGGCGAUCCUAGCUAGGCAAAACCAAGCGCGCGCGCGACACGCAACCAAACCACGUGAUGACUUAUAAUACUCCAGUUAGCUACUGGCAUCGUCAGAGACAAGUUAACCGUCGUGGUAAGUUUGUGACACGUCUGACGUCGAUCGCCUCUCAAAAGAGAAUAAUGGUUUGUGACACGUCGAGGAAAAGACAAUAUAGACACACCGUAACUUUUAUCAAAGUUACAAAAAAGGUUGGGCAAACACAUACUGUAGUAUGUACUGACCUGGAUGAAAUCGUGGAGCACGAAGUCCGGCAGCCAGGGCGGGGGGCGGUGCAUGGACCGGUGCACGAGCCGGCGCAGCCCGGCCGCGCUGUCCGGCAGCAGCGCGUCCUCCACGGCCAUCUCCUCCCGCGCCGCCAGCUCGCCCAUCUCCUGCACCGUGGCCGCGACGCCGCUGGUCAUGAUGACGACCCUGGCCACGCUGUCCCGGGCCUCCACGGCCGCCAGCCGGUACGCCACGAAGCCCCCGUAGCUGAUCCCGGCCACGUCGUACCGGCCCACGCCGAGGAGCCGCAUGGCGUCCGCGGCGCAGCGGGCCUGGAAGGCCACGGAGCGGAGCGGCGAGGCGGAGCGGGAGUGGGAGCCGAAGAAGACCAGGUCGGGCACGUAGAGGUGGAAGCUGCGGGAGAGCGCGGCGAGGUUGCGCGCCCACGUCCACUUGGCGUCGCCGCCGAAGCCGUGGAGGAGGAGCAGCGGCGGCUUGGCGGACGGCGAGGCGGGGCACCAGACGCGGAGCGUGGUGGCGUGCGGGCCGGGCAGGCGGAGGGUGACCGGGCGGAUGCGGAGGCGCGCGAGGAGGUGGAGCGUGAGCGCGGCGUCGCGGAAGGCGGCGAGGCGGAGGCGGAGGAGCAGCCGGAGGAGGAGCAGCGAGAGGGAGAGGAGCGCGAAGAGGGACGAGGUGGCCGCCGGGUGCUGCUUCGCGGCGGCGAGCGCGGCGGCGCCGGCCGCCGCCGCCGGUCCGGCGCGAGCUUGCAUGACGACGACGCGGGAGCGGGCUGGCUGGGUGGGCAGGCUGUAGCGCACAGCUUCUUUCUCGGCGCGGCCCCGAUGGAUCCGGAGGAGUCGCGACGUGUCUCGCGUGAAGUUCUGCGUACUGUUUUUAUAUAUGCGGCUCUUGCUCUUUCUGGUUGUAUACUAGUGCUACUGCUCGUGCUGAGCUCGAGUCGGAUACGGGUUCAAAAUCAAGCAGUGCGGCGUGACCCGUGGUAUAGCAAGAAACUCAAAGCUGCCUAGAGCUUAGCUCUAAGGGCGUGUUUGCUUACAUUGCAAAUCCAGUCUUGGCCCGGCGAGGCUGGCUCUAUCAAGCCGGUUUGAGGAGAUGCAGGCCAAAAAAUUCCAGAUGCACAUAGUUUGGUUGCCUGCAUGUCCCUAGUUGCAUGAGACAACCGUUUUCAAUCCGGCGUUUGGUUGCCCGCAUUGCAUUAGGCACACAUAUGACAUGGCAUUUGGUUGCAACCUGCAUAAGGUGUUGUCACCACUUUUUAACUAGUGGUGAGUUUAUCGCACAAAAUCUGAACAUGUAGGGCCAGAUACUUAAACAAAUGACAGUUCAUCCUAACUACUAUCAAAUGACAGUUCAAAUUAUUACGAGCCAUUGGCUAAAUAGGGGAUAGUUCAUCGGUGUUGCUGCUACCAGUUCUUCCUCUUCCUCUUCUUCUGCUUUUGCUUCUGCUGGUGCUUCUGCUAUUGUUGCUUCUUCUUCUUCUUCUUCUUCUUCUUCUUCUUCUUCUUCUUCUUCUUCUUCUUCUUCUUCUUCUUCUUCUAUCUUCUUCAAAUCCUGCACUGACCUCUGUUAAGCCACAUCGCCUCUGCCCACUUCAACCUUUUGUUCUUCCAAGCGUCAUUGUCAAAUGCCUUCAGACCAUGGUCGGAGCUAACAACGCAGUCAGGCUUGACCUCUUUCUCCUCAGGCACGUGUUCACCAAAGCCCCACUAGAGGAUCCAGUUAUGCAGAAUGCAACAAGCAAGAACUAGCUUAACCUGAGUGGAGUAUGGGUGGAAUGACUUCUGAUCCAGGAUCUUAAACCCAUUCUUCAGAGCUCCAAAUGCCCUCUCAACAGUUACUUUAAGGCUGGAGUGUCUGAGAUUAAACAGCUCAUGUGCAGUCCUAGGAUAGUUCCUACUAGAGAACUCGUUGAGAUGCUACCUGGUUUUCCUGAAGGGUGGAAGAAUACCCGGUCGACAUGCAUAGCCAGCAUCUCCAAGGUAGAACUUGUCGUCGGGGAUGUUGAUCCCAUCAGGCCGAUUCAUGCUAUCAGUGAGAAUGUUAGCAUCAUGCGCUGACCCCUCCCAGCCAGCCAGCACAUAUGUGAACUUCAGAUCAAAGUCAACAUCAACAAGCAUAUUCUGGCUUGUGUAAUGCUUCCUCCCCCUGUAUGCUGCAGACUGUGACCUAGGAACUCUGGCAGUGACAUGAGUAUCAUCUAUUGCCCCAAUGCAAUCCUGAAAAUGGCAUCACAAGCCUGUGUUAGUGCUCAACUUGAACAAUACAAUCAUAUCAAGCCAUGAAUAGUGUAUAUUGUCAAUGUUCACCUUGAAGUAUGGAUACCAUCUUGGGCUUCCGCGAAUCUUGGGUGGAGUCUGACCAGAUGGUCUCCUGAUCCUCUAAGCUACCCAAUAGCAAAAAACACUUACUUGAAGUACCUAGAGAUGGUCUCCAUUGAUCUCCUGAACGUGUUGUGAAUGACCCUGAACCUCUGGUUAUGACCAACAUCACGGAGGAACAUGGCCACUUGCUCUUCGACACUGGUGUUGAUGCUACCUUGUAGCAGCCCCCUACUCCUGAAGGUCUCGACAAGCCUGGCAAAUGGUGCUCUUUUCAUUUGAAGCAUCCACAGAGCCUCAACGUCAUUGCAGUUGUAGAUGUAGUUUAGAUUUUGGAUCCUCUCAUGUUCCCGGUGAAACAAUGGACCAUAGCGGAUCAAAGGUCUCCCAGCACAACGAACAACUCUCUAGUGCAUGAACAUGACCCAUGCCUGAAUCACACUAAUCAGUGCUGCUGCCUGGAUUAUCAGCCUCAUUCAUGCUUCCAUAACCUAGUCGACAUUGACGGUUUGUUCAGUGGGAAAUCGAUCCUACACCUAGCCUAAUGUCCUAACCGCUGAGCUAACAAAGGGGGAGGGGUGCUUCUUACCAGCAUCAGAGAUGAGGACGGCGUAGGGGGAGCCAUGGCACAGACUAGGUCGACCAGACGAUGGCCAACAACAAGGGGAGCACCAGAUCCACCACAAACGCAGCCGCCUCUUCCGCCGCCGCCUCUAGCGCGGAUCUGAAAUCGCAGCCGCCGUGGUGAGGCAGUAGGAAAGAAAGGGGGGCAGUGGCUAUGGGUGAGCGAGUGAAAGGGGUGAGGCUAGAUUUGGCGCCGGGACGGCGCGCCAGAUUUCCAUCUCCCACCAUCCCCCCUCGCCCUCGCCUCGCACCCGCCCCGUGCGACCUCGCACCGCACUCAGCCUGGCCCACGAGAAACUGCCGAUCCGAGCGUUUUCAGCGAGCCAGGCUCUGGGCUGCUUUAAGAAGCGUGCGAUGCAGGCCCAACAGUGAAACCAGGCAACCAAACAUGCCUCUCCCUUCCCGUGUGGGCCUGGUUGGGCUCGAUGCGGGCAACCAAACACGCCCUAAAGGAACGGUUGAAUUGACCCUUUUCAGCGAGGCAGGCCUGAGCGAGCGCAAGGAUGACACACGGAUGCAAGCGUAUGUACGCGCAGGGAUGAGCGGGAGACGUCGCGUUGCACCUUGAAGUNNNNNNNNNNNNNNNNNNNNNNNNNNNNNNNNNNNNNNNNNNNNNNNNNNNNNNNNNNNNNNNNNNNNNNNNNNNNNNNNNNNNNNNNNNNNNNNNNNNNNNNNNNNNNNNNNNNNNNNNNNNNNNNNNNNNNNNNNNNNNNNNNNNNNNNNNNNNNNNNNNNNNNNNNNNNNNNNNNNNNNNNNNNNNNNNNNNNNNNNNNNNNNNNNNNNNNNNNNNNNNNNNNNNNNNNNNNNNNNNNNNNNNNNNNNNNNNNNNNNNNNNNNNNNNNNNNNNNNNUCCCUUUUGGCGGUGAGCAUCGAUGGCAGCAAGAUCUGGACGAGGAGCACCGACGGCGACCACGAACUUGAUCACCGCUUCAUCACCCCUUCGCCACCUCUUCUUCAAUGAUGGUAAUUCCUUGUCUUCCUGAUUUAGGAAACGAUGUAGCCAUCGAUUUAGGCAUGGAUUUAUACUUCGACAAUUCAAUCUAGGGACAGACUAAGGGGUUAAUACAGCUAGAUUUAGGGUUCAAGUUGGGUUCUGGCUUAAGCUUGGUUUUAGGGUUUGAUUUAGGCUUCGAUUUAGGGUGCCGGUUAAGAGUUUGAUUUGACCGUCCAUAUGUAGUCAAUAUAGGGGUCUGAUUUUGGUUAGUUGCCAUGUCGAUAUAGAGUCAGAUUUUGGUCAGUUGUCAUGUCAAUAUAGGGCUAGAUUUUGGUCAGUUUCCAUGUCGAUAUAUGGUCGAUACUGGUCCAUGCUACAUGAACAUCCAAUUGAUCAUGCUUAGUUCUUCAUUGCAGUCUUUCUAUUCGGAAGCCGGUCAUCGAUAAUGUUGGUGAUGGCAAAUGCUGAAGGGCGACCGCCUCAAGCCUCCGAGGACAAGUAGGUCGCAAAGGGCGAGGAAGUGGCAGACGUCAGCGCCGGAAAGAGGCCUCAGUGAGGAAGAAGAAUUCCAACCAUUUUUAUGAGGACGCGGGCCCAUCACAUUUCUGCAAAGUCAUUCUAACACCUAAAUUGGAGUGACUGUCCAUCCCUGACUGCUUCCUUGAGAAAAUGGUGCCAUCCCUAUUUUUGAAGCUCUCUCAUUUGACCGAGGUGUUCAAUUUUGUAUUUGGUUCAUGUUUUGACAGGUACAAUGAUCGUCAACAUGCGCCACUGUAACAUCAAUAUAGUAUGUGUGACCAACAACACAAGAAAUAUUUUCGCAUACGCGUGUGGGUUGAUUAGCAGAUAACACGGAAUCACUCUGCCAAAAAGAGGCUACCCAAACACCGCAUUUUGUAAAAAGGAAAACACACUCCAUCAUCUCCCCAUGCGCCAAACCAGAUAACAUUUUAAUGAAAUCUCCAUGAUACCAACAACACUGUGAAGCGCGCCCACCCUUCUAGUGAUGUGUCAAGGCUAAGCGAUAAUGACAUCGCUCGAAAUGGCAGCAAGCAGGUAUUGAUCUAGAACCUUUAAUUCGCCUCGACUUCUAUCUCCAAUGGCAUGUGCAUGUGGGUCCCGAUUUUCAUAUCUCAUUCUCAGAAUGCGAUGUCUACUCUUUUAUAUCUAAUAGCUAGCCCCUACUAACAAAUUUUUCAAUAUGCAAGCAUGAUAUCUUAGCAUGCCAACAUGAGAAAAGAUUCACCUCGAUAUGCAAACGAUGCAUAGGAAAACCCAAACUCAACAUGCAGAAAUGCAUAUUAGUUUCCACUCUAUUAUGCUAUUUAUAACUGAUCUUUUUUGCAACUAUACAAUAUUAAAACAAUAAAUCAUAUAUAUUUGAGUUUAGUUCUCAUAUUAAUACUCUAACAUUCAUGUUUCAAACAACCGAAUCUUAUUAAAAUAUGUUGCGAUACAUUCUCCCAAAAAUGUGUGGGGUAUCAUCUACUUCCUUCAUCCAAAAUUAAUUGACACUCACUACGAGCGCCAACUAAUUCCGGACAGAGAUAGUAGUUUCCUAUAGUGCUUAUGGAAUUUGAUGUAUGUGUAAGCUCUAUACCUUUAUUUUGUUGAGGAAUGCACUUUGAGGGCUCAUUUGGUUUCCUGGGAUCCCCGCCCUUUCCCUGGGCAGCUCCCACCCGUGGAAACCCAAUCCGGGGCUACUUGUCUAUGCAUUUGGUUGUUGCGGAGGAGAGGGAUAUCCUGCCCCAUCCCCGUUCAAUCCCUGGGCUCAAAAUAAUCUACCCCGACUCGCGGAACAAUCCCCCCCUCUCUCUCUCUCUCGCAAGAUCUAGAUGGUGUCCACUGCCCACCCGCUUCCUUCUCCCCUCUCCCCUCCGGCCAGUCUGCCCUCUGCCCCCACCUCAAGCCCUCUCUAUAAACGAGCUUGAGCGCUCAGCCAUUGCUAGCUCGGCUGGAGCUGCAAUUUGUGAUUAGCAUGUGUGAGUUCCCCAUCUACUUGUUGGUAAAAUUGAAUAAAAAAAUUCAUCCCUUCCUUGGAGCAGGCGGCUGGCGGUGCUGAUUUGCUUCGUUAAGCUGAGCUUGAAGAAGAGUGUCGCUAGAUCGGUCAUGCGACACUGAGGUUGAAGACGAGAGUUUUGUUCUUCUGGUCUUCUUUCUUUUCUUCAUGGAAGCCAGGGAACCUCGGCCCCUGAAGUGCCAAAUGGUGGUGAGAUAAUGCCUCGUGGAUUUCAAUGUGUCGAGAAUAUUUCACCCGUGCUUAUUCAACCCUGGAAUUUCUCUCCCCAGCAACCAAACAUAGCCUGAGAGUUAAAUUGUGGGACUAGCUUAGUGUGUUGGCCCAUAAAUUGCUUGAACUAGAUGAUACCUUGCACGUUGUUGCAAAUUUUUUUCUAAUAUAUUUCAACGAGAUUUGGUUGUAUAAAAGACGAAUAAAAGUAUAUUAUGAUACCUAGAAGUAAAAAUACAUAUGAUAUAUCGUGUUUGAUAAUUGUAUAGUUUUAAAAUAUUUAUUAAAUAUAAAUAGCAUAAUAUAGUAGAAAUUGUCAUGCAUGUUUGCAUGUAGAGGUGUAUUUUUAUCUGUGCAUGGUUGAAUGUUGAGGCAGGCUUUUCCUAUGCAUGUUGCAUAAUCCCGAUAUCCUCCUUAAGCAGAAUUUUUGAUGUAAUAACCUUAGACCUUGUUUAAAUUACUGAACUUACACACAGAUAUAGAGGUAAGGUCACAUGUGUGCGUUCGGGGGUGAAUGUGUGCGUGUGUGUUGUGAGCGUUUGCGUUUGCACUAUGUUUCUAAAAGAGUUAAACCAGGCUUGUUUUUCUUUUGAAAAAAGAAGGAUUACCUUGGCCUCAACAGCAUUACGGUGCACACAUCCAUUUCUUGAAAAAACUCAAACAUCACAAUCUAGUACUAGAGUACAAACCGAAAAUAAAAAAACAACUACAAUCUAUCACAUAGCAUCUACUAUUGGACUGCCAUUAAAACCGGUUGUAUGUAUCCCGUGUUACCAUCUUUUAUUAGUUGCACUCAUAGAUCAUAAGCUCCCGUACUUUUGCAUGGUGAAUUAAGGACCAUGUAUGGAUCCAUAAUGUAGCUCGGUAUAUAGGUUGCAAUAAAAUUACGAACCUUUGUUCAGUUAAAACCACAAUCAUUCCUAUAAUUUCAUAUAGCCUAAAGCAAGACACCCACACCCACAUAGAUUCAUGCCUUCAUUUUAGACUCAACCCCACCCAACCGGUUACUAAGCAUAUUUGACAUACUCAUAGAUGGAGGCCAAUUAAAAGCCACAUUAAUUCCAAGCCAUAAUAACUUGGCGAGAGGGCAAGCAAGAAACAAAGGAUGAAAUGUUUCCUUUUGAUCACAGAACAACAUUGUUUGCUACAUUGCCAACUACGUUUUUGCUAUAUCCUUAGUAAGAAUGACACCUUUGUGCACAAGCAGAUGCAAUUUUUAAUAUUUAAUGUCACUUUGGUCUUCCAAGUAUGAUAUGAAUGAAAAAAAUCCUAAUAUUAAUCAUGUCCAUGUACAUCAUACACGCCCAAUAUUAAUCAAACUUGGGACAAUUAAUGGAUUUGUCUAUUUCUAUGUUGAACAAAACUGUCAUGGAUAUCAGAAUGAUGAAAAGAUAAAAUCACAUAGAUCAUGACGUAUGUUAUUCGCCAAAAAUAGCCAUGUAAAAAAUUACAAGUGCCAAAACCCGAAUCAGAACGCCCAAGUAUGGCCUUAUCAGUAAGUUGUCAUUGUACUCCUUCCGUCAGGAUUUAUUAGGCACCUUUGUAUUUUGAAUCAACUUUGCUAUAAACUUGAUGUGCAAAAUAUAAGCGACAUGUGACAUAUGUCAUAAAAAUUAUAUUGUUAAAUUAAUUUCCGAACGAAGUUUCUAAUGGCACCCACUAGUUAUGUUACAUAUAACUCAUUUUUUGUUAUACAAAUGUAUGGUUAAACUUCAAAAUAUUAGAGGGCCUAAUAAACCCGUACAUAGGGAGCAAAGCUUGAAACCUUGAGGGUACCCUUUGACCCUUUUUAGUUCAAAUAAAUGAACUGAAUUAUCAGAAUCGUGUCAUUUGAUUGAACUAAGUAGUGUCCGAGGGUAUCCUAUAAAUAUUUCAAAUUUGCAUAACUAGUAUAGAUCGAAUUCAGCAUAAAUUAAUCAUACCAUCACGAGAACCAUAAUAUAUACCUAUUCAAGAAAAAAACAUAAAUAUAUACUUUUUUAACCUCACAUAAAUAUAUACUACUCCCUCCGUUCCUAAAUGUUUGUCUUUCUAGAUGUUUCAACAAAUGACUACAUACAGAACAAAAUGAGUGAAUCUACACUUUAAAAUAUGUUUACAUACAUUCGUAUGUGAUAGUUCAUUUGAAAUGUCAAAAAAACAAAUAUUUAGGAACGGAGGCAGUUCUUGCAAACACUUGUAGAAGAACGAAACGAGGAACAUAUACUGUCCAGUGUCCACCCAUUCACUCAGGAAACAGGAGUCAGCACGAAUCGUAAAGCUACGGCAUCUCCACGGUCCAGCCUCCAGGCGGAGCACACGUAGCCCGCUCCUCCAUUUGGGGGUGAAGAAACANNNNNNNNNNNNNNNNNNNNNNNNNNNNNNNNNNNNNNNNNNNNNNNNNNNNNNNNNNNNNNNNNNNNNNNNNNNNNNNNNNNNNNNNNNNNNNNNNNNNNNNNNNNNNNNNNNNNNNNNNNNNNNNNNNNNNNNNNNNNNNNNNNNNNNNNNNNNNNNNNNNNNNNNNNNNNNNNNNNNNNNNNNNNNNNNNNNNNNNNNNNNNNNNNNNNNNNNNNNNNNNNNNNNNNNNNNNNNNNNNNNNNNNNNNNNNNNNNNNNNNNNNNNNNNNNNNNNNNNNNNNNNNNNNNNNNNNNNNNNNNNNNNNNNNNNNNNNNNNNNNNNNNNNNNNNNNNNNNNNNNNNNNNNNNNNNNNNNNNNNNNNNNNNNNNNNNNNNNNNNNNNNNNNNNNNNNNNNNNNNNNNNNNNNNNGAUGAUCGCAUCCGCACCUUCGAGGACUUCGCGCGGGUGCACCAGUUCCUGCUGAUUGCGGCCGGCGUGCCGCCGUCGCUGCAUCGGCGGCUGUACCACAAGCUCGCCGCCGAGGUGUUCGACGGCGGGGAGAGAUUCUACGUAGAGCCCUGCGAGGAAGGGAGGCAGCGCCGCCUCGUGCUCGCCUCGGACACGGCUCUAAGGGGGGAGUCGGACGUCUUCCUCGUCGACCAUGCGUGGUCCUUCCGCCUCUCCGAUGCGCUCAAGCAGGUUCGCCUUGUCUGAUGCCUGCUAGUAUGACUUGCUCGUGUUAGUUUAUUUCGAAGCAACUAGAUUGGGAGCUGUGUAACUGGUGAUGCUAUUCAGUAGUAGUAUAACCAUUUGCUUGGUUUGAACUUUCUGGUUUAAUCUAUAUGUGCUCUUGAUAACAAGGGGUUUCAGGUCCUGCUAUUAUCCAGUUUUUCUACAUUGUCUAGGGAGUGACCUUUGCUGAUUUUGUUGAUCGUUGACGCUGUUAUACUGUAAAUUAGUGAUUCAAGUUAGCGAAGUGAGUGGUGGUUAGAAUUCCAUCCAGAUUAAAAUGCUCUAAUUUUUGGCUGUUGAUCUCCUCUUCUCACGAGCAUCUUUUGUCAUUUUAGGGUUGUUAAUGACUUAAGAAGUAUGUACUGUUUUCUUCCACAUCAAUUACUAGCAAUACGUGCUGACCUGACAAACAGCGGGGUGGAGCACCAGCACCUUAAGCUGCACCAGCAUCUUAGUAAGAUAGACACCGAUUAAGAAACCGAGAAGUCUAGAUUAUGGAGACUCUCUAAGUUUUUCUCUGAUUUCCUGUGUCUGUACUACUUCACUUUAGACCCGGCAUAGGAAUAAGUGUAUCCAUGAGUGAUCUCAUUUUUGUGUGUUGGUGAUUUUGUAGCUACGUGAAGUACCAGGAUUGGCCGAGAGAAUGGCAGCUCUAAUGUGCGUGGAUCUGGAUAGGAAAACUGAGGUCGAAGAGUCAGAUGAGCAAGGCAGUGAAAAUGGUGGGGGUUUGGAGCAUGUCUUGCAGGUGCUGGAGAACGAAAAAGCUAGAAUCCAGGAGAGGGGAAGUUAUUUUGCAGCAUGGCUGGAGCUUGAGGAGCUUGGAAUUGAUGAUGAUAUGUUAGUGGCACUGGAUUUAUCUGCAAAUUUUCCGGUCUGACUCUUCUCCAUAUAUGUUUUUAGUUGCUAUUGCCUGUAAGGUACAGUAUAGUAUAUAUGGUCGAUCUCAUAUAAGUAUAAUAGUAGUAAUAUAUUGCAGUGUGUAUGUUUAUAUUUGACGAUUCCCUGGUUUAAUUUGUGAUGAAAAGAAUAUCAAAUUUUCUCUUCUAAAUGCCAAAGCUCAUUUCAGAAGAGCUUUUCUCUGUUCUUCUAUGUUAUUUGUCGGGAGAACUGUUUCUGAAUGAUCUAUGGUUUGUAUUUGAUGUUUUCCUGAAACUGAUCUUUCCUUUCUUUCUCACUAGAAUCUGGUAGCCCUCAAUCUAUGGGGAAACAAGCUGCAGGAUCCAGAAAAAGUAAUGCGAGAAAUCGGGAAGUGUGGAAGGUUAAAGGCACUUUGGCUGAAUGAGAACCCUAUCCUUAACCAAUGGUCAGAAUUGUGCUUUACAUAUUUUCUUAUCUUAUCUAUUUUGUAAACUAUCUUAUGCAUAUUUUCCAUGUUCUUAAUUGGUUAUAGGUCUAACCAUGAAAAAAAAUAGUGAUCCUGAUGUAUGGAGUUAAGAAAGUAACUACAUAUUUGCCUUCAAACGGUAUAAUGCUUGCCACUGAGUGUCGGACUGUAGAGCUACUGCAAAUGAUAACCUACAAAUUUUACUUUCGUAGUUCAUCAAAUGAUCGGUCUGGCACGAUGAACUUAAAUACGGAUGGAACAUACUAAAAAAGUGGCUUCUCGAAAGGAAGAAGUAAACCUGCCCGGCGCCGGCCAGUUUCUGACUCAUUCAUUGUGUUCUUACAGCCAAACCCUGUGUUUGGAAUGUAUGCAUGGAUGGGUUAGUAAAAGUUGGCUUAUGAUAAUUUGGGGUGCAGAAUUAUGUUUAUCUGAAAAACGUAGAGCAUUGUUCAUAGUAUUGGUCAUGCUGCAUGUAUGUGGUAAAAACAACACGAUACAGAUGUGCAAUUUCUGGGCGUUAACAAAUAGAAAGUGAGCAACACUCAGCUUUAACAAAUAGCAAGUGAACAACACUCUGACUAGUUGAAAUAUUUCAGAACUUAUAUUUGAUGUCUAUUUCAGGUAAUAUUGUUGUAAAGUCCUGUUAUGUCAUUGUAGUAUCUUUUUGAUGUUGACAGCACUGAGAAAGAUGUUCUUGAUGGUCUUCCUGAAUUGGAAAUCUACAAUUCACAUUUUACAAGGAAAGCUAGAGAGUGGGCUUUAGGUUUCUGCGGAGAUAUGGUUGGAGCAGAAAAUCCCUGUUUGUCUGUGGGAAACAUAUCAUUGGAUAAUAUUGUGACCCUUGACCUUUCUGAUAGGUCCAUCCACAAACUACCUGAGGUAAGAUACCUAAUGCCUACAAUUGGUUAUCUAUAAUUUUAAAACACGACGUCACAAAAAGGCUACCUGUAUCAUUUUGCCCAAGUUUAAGCUAUCGUUUUGUCAGAACUGUACACUCAGAAAAGGUACUGACAAUUUUCCUCACUACAUUUUUAAUUUUGAAGGUGUUCUCUAGUAAACUGUCAUCUCUUUCAAAGUUGAACAUCCGUGGCAAUCCUUUGGACCAAAUGUCUGGUGAUGAUCUCUUGAAGUUAUUUAGUGGGUUUACACAGUUACAGGAGCUGGAGGUAUCAUUGUCGAAACUUCAUAAUUCUCAGAAAUUUGUUCUUAUCUUUAGUUCCCGUCUUCUUUCUAGACUAGGAUGAGUGUUAUCAACUUUUAAAUGGAAAGUGAUUAUCUUUUGACAGGUAGACAUUCCUGGCCCUCUUGGAGACAGUGCGAUUUCCAUUCUUGAGUCUCUUCCCAAUAUAAAUUUGCUGAAUGGUGUCAAUGCGUCAACUAUAGUCGAGAACGCUAAGCAUGUAGUGGACUCUGCACUUAGACCACGUGUUCCAGAAUGGUCACCUGAAGAAUCCCUGGCUGAAAGAGUUAUUGGUGCAAUGUGGCUGUAUCUUAUGACAUACCGGCUUGCCGAUGAAGAAAAGUUUGAUGAAACACCCAUUUGGUAUGCCAUUGCUGCAAUCUUUUUUCAUCCCUUUCUGGACGAGUGGUUGGUGUAAAUUUAGUUACUGUGUAGUUAAAUCCUGCAAGCAUUCGCUCAGAAAGAAUCAUGUUAACAUUAUGACCUUGUCUAACACCUACUGCUGGAGUAGGGUUUUAUGUAAUACUAAAUCCAUCCAGUUAGAUCAUCCAGGAAAUAUGUUUGCUUUCACUUUUGGACAAUGAGAAACAUUCUGCUAGGACAUGAAACACACUUGCUUGUUUUACUGUGUUAUAUGUUUCGUGAUUGGUUAUUUGUGCAGGUAUGUCAUGGAUGAGUUGGGCUCAGCGAUGCGCCAUAGUGAUGAUGCAAACUUUAGGAUAUCUCCUUUUUUGUUCAUGCCAGAAGGAAAAUUAGCUUCUGCUAUAAGGUAUUGACAUUUGAAUUGUAGGAACAUUCUAUCAUUAUUUAGUUUGUUAAUAUCCAAUAUUUUCAGUUACACAAUUCUGUGGCCUAUUUGUGAUGUUCAUACUGGAGAAGAAUGUACCCGAGAUUUCUUGUUUGGUAUUGGCGAAGACAAACAACGCUCAGCUAGGCUUACAGCUUGGUUCCACACACCAGAGAAGUAUUUUAUUCAGGUGCUUUUUUCCAUGCCAAUACCGACUGGUUUGAGCUGUACACAGACCCCAAUGAAUUAGUCUUAUGUUCCCUCUUGCUUUCUGGCUACUUCAUAGGAAUUCAGGAAGUACCAGGAGCAGCUUCAGUCAACUACUAUUUGUCCUACAAAAGAGGCGCCCUCAACCAAAAGUGCACUUCCAAGUGAUGGCCGUCCACUUCGAGUAUUCACUGAUAUACCCCAAGUAGAGGAGUUCUUAACACGUCCAGAGUUUGUUCUCAGUAAGCAAAGCUAUGUCCUGCUUUAUUAUUUGUCUGUAACUGUUUUUUCAGGAUCGACUGAUUUUUAGAUGGGGAUGCACCCUGGCUAUUGUUCCUGCAAAGUUUUGCCCUGUGGUUCCCGCAGUCCAUUUCCUUUCCUUCCUUUCAUCACUUGUCCUCCUUUUGUUGGGAUAUUGUUCAUGUGGAAAGCAAAGACAGAACAUGAAAACCUGGUCGUGAUACCUUUUUGUUUUACAGAAGGAUAAAUAAAUAUUAUAUCCUUUUGCUGAUUUAGUGUACACCUCAUGAUAGCACUCUGCUAUCAUAUACUCCCUCCGUUCCUAAAUAUAGGUCUUUAUAGAGAUUCCAAUAUGAACUACAUACGGAUGUAUAUAGACUAUUUUAGAGCGUAGGUUCACUCAUUUUCCUCCGUAUGUAGUUCAUAUUGAAAUCUCUAGAAGGACUUAUAUUUAGGAACAGAGGGAGUAGUUAAUAGUUUACUAUUUAAGUUGUAAAUAAUGGUUAUGGCUUGGUGAAUAAUACUCCCUCCGUUCCGAAUUACUUGUCGCGGGUAUGGAUGUAUCUAGAUGUAUUUUAGUUUUAGAUACAUCCAUUUCUGCGACAAGUAAUUUGGAACGGAGGGAGUAUCUUGUAAUAUUUGUCAGUGAACUGAACAAAACUGAAGUUGUGCUAAUUUUUGGCAUACUCUUCUAAUGAGACAUUAUUUGUAUGCCACCUAGUUUUAUUGGCCCAUUUAAUAUGCUUGUAGAGUCAUGGCGAUUCAUAGUGUAUUCCAUUAUUUCUGCAACAUAUGCUUCAAAGGAAAUUAGCUCCUCGUUCACAUCUAACUUGUUUUCCUGCAGCAACUGAUCCGAAGGAUGCAGACAUCAUCUGGGCAGGCAUGCAAAUUGAUUCUGAAUUAAAGAGUUCACUAGGUCUCACAGACCAACAAUACAUGAAUCAGUUUCCUUUUGAGGCUUGUCUGGUCAUGAAGCACCACCUAGCGGAUACUAUCCACAGGGUGAGCUACUGAGCUGUUUGGUGUAUGCCUUCUUUAAGAAACAUCCGGCAUAGCUUUACUGCUUUGAAUUCAGUACCUUUGAUGUUAGCGGCAUCUGAAAACUAAGAUGAACUCCUACAGGCAUGGGGCUCACCUGAGUGGCUUCAACCUACAUAUAACCUAGAGACCCAUUUGUCUCAACUAAUUGGUGAUUACUCUGUGAGGAAACGGGAUGGUAAGGACAACUUAUGGAUCAUGAAGCCUUGGAAUAUGGCAAGAACAAUUGAUACCACUGUCAGUGGUGAUCUAUCUGCUAUCAUCAGACUUAUGGAGACGGGUCCCAAGAUAUGCCAAAAGUAUAUUGAGUGUCCUGCACUUUUCCAAGGAAGAAAGUUUGAUCUUCGGUACAUUGUUUUAGUCCGCAGUAUAUGCCCUUUGGAUAUACUUCUUUGUGAUGUUUUUUGGGUAUGCCUGAAAGUUUAAUGAUACUUAGUGAAUAUCGGUGCCCAUUACUUGAUGAUUAUAUCCAGUGACUCUUGUGCAUCUAUCUUUUCCUUGUUGUAGGUCAGGUUAGCAAACAAUCAGUACACUUUGGAGAAAACUAGCCUUUUUGAGUACGAGACCCAUUUCACUGUGAUGGUAAGAUCAAAUUUCACCAAUGUUAUACGUGUCACUUUAUAAUAUCACAUCAUGAAUGUCAGCUGUGCAGAAGGUUGUUGAUGUUGUAUUGUAUCUCCUGUUAUAAUAAUACUGAUUAUAUCUUAUAGACCCUAGCUGUAUGCUCAUAUAGUGACCAGCCGUAAACUUUUCUUGGUAAUAAAUUUUUAGGAGUGUAAUCUAGCUCCCUAAUUUCUCUUCCCGUCCAGAACUACAAUGGAAGGAUGAACCAUAUGAAUACUCCAGAGUUCGUCAAGGCGUUUGAGAAGGAGCACCAAGGUUUACAACAGCUUGCAUUCCCCCUCUUUUGUAUAGAGGUGUCUUAGGUUUCUAAUCUAUUGUUAAAAUUUCAGUUAAAUGGCUGGAGAUUCAUGAAAGCAUACGUAUUAUGAUAAGGCGUGUCUUUGAGUCAGCCUCAGCUGUCCAUCCUGAGAUGCAGAACUCAUUCUGCCGGGCCAUCUAUGGUGUUGAUGUUAUGCUUGAUGAUAAAUUCAAGCCAAAGAUUUUGGAGGUAUGCCUCAACUACUUUGUAUAACUGCAGCCCAUGCACAUUGGUAAUAAAACCUGUUUAAGCCUGUGCAUAUCAGUUAGGGUGAUACGGUGCAUGGUUAUAGCUUAGUGCUUGUUCCAUUCAAGCUAGAAAAGCACUUAUAUGCAUAUCACCAUGCCAAUCCAGAUAUUCUUGAUGUAGCAUUUCCUUGGUCCAUUUGGCACGAUAGUAGUAUUAUGGAAACUAAUUAAGUGUACGAGUGAAGUGCUGUCAUCCAUGUACAGGAACUUCCGCACGGCAGUUUCUUGCAGACGGGAUGUCCACCGUCAUGUUAUAAGAAUAUAUUUGAACCAGGUUGCCUAGUACUGUUUUCACAUGUUCCAUCGAAAUAACUACUUCAUGUUAUGAGAACAUUUUGAACCGUGUUGCCUAGUAAUGUUUCCACAUGUUCCAUCGAAAUAACUACAUCAGGUUGUGGGAGUAUAUUUGAACUGGGAUGCCUGGUACUAUUUUCACAUGUUCCAGCGACUCACCACUUCACCAUGAACUGCAGGUGACAUAUUGCCCGGACUGCACGAGGGCGUGCCAAUAUGACACACAAGCUCUCGUUGGAAGCCAAGGCCCCAUCAGAGGCAGUGAUUUUUUCAACACGGUGUUUGGCUGCCUCUUUCUCGAUGAUUUGACGAAUGUGUCACCACUGUAAUCAUCUUGUCAAGAGCCGUUUCUCCCUCGAAUACCAAGAGCUGUUGUAACACCAAUGUCCUUGCAUCAUGAUAUGAUCAAGGGUUCUUGUACGCUUAUGCAUCAACGAACUGCAUUUGUGUCAGGAUAUGAUCAUGUAUUCAUGUGAAUGAAGCUUAAGAUGGAUUUGCUUGUGUUACUUGAUAAAUAUUGCUGCUUCUGAUACUAAUGUUGCAUGCAUAUGAGAUUGAACUAUAUCAAGUAGCAAAUUAUUACAAUGCCAUGCCAUUGCAAGAGUAUUGCAAUAGUUUACCAGAGUAAUAGGAAGUCUCAAGGAUGUGUUAGAAUAUGUUUGUGUUUCGAUGAGUUUUAUGUUCUGUGGGUUUCAAAAAGAUUCCAAGAAGAGAUUGAAUGUUACCAAAGGGUUAACUGGUGACUUGAAAAGAAAACCCUCCAUCAUCAAAAGUGUGCAUGUCUCAUUCUCCAAGGCAAGGCAAGGUAACGUAGCCAAUGCAGCUACUCACCCUCACAGUAACUUUGAAGCAUCUCAUCUGCCAGCUCCACAAAGCCCAAGAAUACAUGCUCGAGUGACACACUGAUUGCACAUUAUAUGUGCACAUGAGCCAUGGCUGCUGAUCACUGAUCCUACGUACUGCAAGACUAGCGAAUUCUAACCAUGAUCACCGCUGGAGCCAUCCUUUCUCUCGUGAUGAUCAUCUUCUUCUCCACCGUCUGCAACUCCGACCCGGACCUCCUCUUCGACUACUGCGUCGCCGACACGACGUCUGCCGCCGCGUCGUUCCACUUCAACGGCCUGCCGUGCAUCGACCCGGCGACGGCGUGCGCCGACCACUUCGCGACCUCGGCGCUCUCCGAGCCCACGGACCCGUCCGCCACGCUCUUCGGCUUCAACGCGACGAUGACCAGCCCGGCCGCGUCCCUCCCGGGCGCGAACGCGCAGGGGCUCGCCAUGGCGCGCGUCGACCUCGCGCCCGGCGGCAUGGCGCCGCUGCACUCCCACCCGCGCGCGUCGGAGGUGGCGCUCGUGAUCUCCGGCGGCGUGCUGGUGGGGUUCGCCGACACGUCGUACCGGCUGUACACGCAGCGGCUGCGCGCCGGCGAGGCCUUCGUGUUCCCGAGGGGCAUGGUGCACUUCAUGCGCAACGAGGACGCCUCGUCCCCCGCCGUCGUGCUGUCCGGGCUCAACAGCCAGAACCCCGGCGCGCAGCUCGUGCCCUUCUCGGCGUUCCUGACGGAGCCGCGGCUGCCCGACGAGGUCGUCAAGAAGACGUUCAGGAUCACCGGGCAGGGCGUGCAGAGGAUCCAAAGGAGCCUCGGUGGGUCGUAGAGGAAAAAAUCGCCUAUGCCUGCAUCUAGUAUACUACUCGGCUACUCCUUACAUAAUUACUCAUGUGCUACGACAGGAGUCCAAAUAUUGUACGCGAUCGUCAUGACUUAUCUGUCAUUUUUUUACUAAUGUGAUUAUUAUACAUACUAUCAAAAGGGAUCGUGCGUUCCAACCGAAGAUUUUUUUUCAUAUUCUCCAAGGUUAUGACCACAUUUUGCUACAUCACCGAGAUACACUAUUACUCAAUUUCGUGAAAUAAACACUUUUUGAAACUCAUGCACAUAUUUGAAAUCGUGAACAUUUUUCAUAUUUUUGAUCACUUUUACAAAUUUUCAAGCAUUUUCUAAAAUCAAGAACAUGUUUUCAAUUCAUGAAAAUUUUAUACUACUCCCUCUGUCCGGAAUUACUUGUCAUCAAAAUGGAUGUAUCUAGAACUAUAAUACAUCUAGAUACAUUCAUUUCAAUGACAAGUAUUUCUGGACGGAGGGAGUAUUAGCAAACAUUUUCUAAACAAUUUUAUUCAAUCGGCGAGUAUUUAUAGAAUUGACGGACUUUUUUGGAAAUUGGCGGGACAAUUUUUUUAAAUUCACAAACAUUUUUUUAAUUUAACAAACAUAUUUUAAUUUAACAAACAUAUUUUAAUUUAACAAACUUUUUUUCAAACGCAUGAUCAUUUUUUGAGUUAACAAACAUUCCAUGAAUGAAUAAACUAUUUAGUAAGUCCCGAUCAGUUUUUGAAUUUUUAGGAUAUUUUUCCACUAACGAACAUUUUUUGAAUUGGCGAAAUUUUGUUUAAUUUCAUUAACAUUAACAUAUUUUAAUACAUGAACUUUAUAAAAAAUCAUGAACAUUUUUUGAUUUCCCGAACAUCUGUCUUAUAAAAUUCAAACUUUUUUUAAUAUAUUCUUUUACAAAAUCACGAACACUUUUAGAAUCCACAAACAUUUUAUGAUUUACUAAAAAAUUUAUUUAAAAUUCAUUUUUCAAUUUUCCGAACAUUUUUGAAGUCGCAAAUUAUUUAAAGUAGAAAAAAUGAAAACAUGAAAGAAAAAUAAAAAAUAAAAAAACAAAUUAAAAAAAUAGGCCGCCUGGACAUGGACCGACGCAAACGGGCGCGCUGCAUCUUCUUCCAGCAUGCAAAGCACAAUAAUAUAGGAGGCCACAAUUGCAUGGGCUGGCCUAGGCGAGGAAUUCCCCCUGUGUGAAACACUUUUUUUUAUUACGAUGGCAUUGAUGGAUAAUAUUUUGUAACUUUGGGGGCGUGACGUAUCGCAAUGACCCCUUUAUUAUUAGGUAGGUAUAGAUAUAGAUUAUAAGUAGGACAGGCUAGCGAUCAAUUGACUAAAAAGAAAUUUAGGGUCAGUCGAUUUGUUCUCAUCCAUCUGAUGCAAAAUUUAUUUAACGGCGAGUUGACCUUCUUCAAUCUCCAACACUCCCGGUUCAAUCUUCUUCCCUGGAACUGCCAGCGGCCACUUGCUGAACCACAUGCCUCCGCCGCUUGCGACCCCGCCCUCCCUUUGACCUCCUCCCACCGCCGUGCUUGCUGCCGCCCUCUCUGACACCCGUCGGCCUCAAGUUCCGCCGCCAACAGCCCCCGCACCCCUAAGAUAGACACCGAGGCGCUGCUUCCCGGCGAACCCGCACCCCUAAGAUAGACACCGGUGCGCUACUUCCUCGGUGAACCUGCACCUCCGUACCCCUAAGAUAGACACCGAGGUGUUGCUUCUUCGGCGAACCAGUGGCCUCAGUGCUCCGCGCGCCUCCUCGGACACUCUUCCUUUCUCUGGAUAUCGACUGACCCAAAAUUGAAAUCCAGAUGACUGACAUCCAACUAAAGUGAUCAAAAAUAGAUGUAUCAUUAAGGUGUGGAACAAUUUAGAAGGAAUACUUGAGAAAAACAUGCGAGUUUUUAGGUUUCCAUAUAUUUAUAUAUUUUCUUCGGUUGGGUUUAUGAGUCGUGCGAGUUUUUAGGUCUUCAAUUUGACUAAUAAAACAUGUACAAUAGGCCACAAAAAUUAUAUAGUUAGAAACUACAUUUGACAAUGUGAAAUAUAAUGCAUGUUUUGUUAACAUUUUUUUGAGGGGUUGUUUUUCUAGUUUUUUUCAUCUGAGAAACAAGGUAUGGGCCCCUGGUUGGGUCGAGCACUUAGCGGCUGCACUCUUUGCCAUGAUAGGGCGGCCCCGGGAGGAGCCAAAAGUAGGACGGAUUGGGCCUAGAGGAGGAACUAACUUACUAGGGCCGACGGCCACCAUAGCGCUGCUACAUGAACCUUCACUGAACCCUUUUUUCUCUUUCCAUCUACCAUUUUUCUUCCGGUUCUCUUUGGUUUUUAUUUUAUUUCUUUUUUCCAUUUUUGAAAUUUGCGAACAUUGUUUUGAGUUCGCAAACAUUUUUUGAAUCCACGAAUAAUUUUUUGAUUUUUCGAACAUUUUUAAAAUUUAUGAUUUUUCUACAAUUCACAAAAAAAUUCGAAUUCAUGAUUUUUUGAGUUUGCAAACAUUUUAAAAAUACAUGAACAUAUUUUGGAUAUACAUUUUUGGUUAGGGACAUUUUUAAAUCAAGCAUUUUUUGAAUUCACAAUCAUUUUAUCAAAUUACUGAAUAUUUUUUUAUUUGUGAUUUUUUAAAAUUUAUGAUUUUUAAUUCACUAUUUUUUAAAUAUAUUUUAAAUCUGUGAACAUUUUUAGUUCCUGGACUAAUUUAAAAUUUUAAAAAGUAGUUUAACAGAAAACUAAAUGAAAAUAAACCAUAUAAAAAAUCAUUUAAAAGAAAUGAACCAGAAAACGGACAAAAAACAUUAGCUAAAGUAUAUAUGGGCGACCCAGAGGGGGCGCUCCGCUAGCUAUGGGGUGCGCAUUUUCGUGUCACUCAACACCCUACGCGCUGUGUAUAGGAGGUCUGAGAGCCGACGUGUCCCUGUAGGUUAGACCACCUAGCAAGGCCAAAAUGGGCCACGACUAUGCAGUCAGAGGAGGAGGCUUGCCUGCUCCCCGCAUAUACUCCCAUCCGUGCUCCCAUUUGGUUCAACAGACGUGAUUGUUUUAUGUGAAGGCCCACGUCUGCACCUUCCCUUUCCUUCCCUUACGUCUCUUUUGUUUCGACAAAAAUAUUAUGACCAAAAUCGAGGAAAUGCCGUGAGUCGCCCAGCAAUGAGAACAGAUGGGAGCACGGAUGGGAGUAUAUGCGGGGAACAGGCAAAGCCUCGUCCAUCUUAGACGCCACUUGUUUUCUGGAGGUGUUGUCGCCUUUUCACCCGAUCUCUCUAUUCCAACAUAAAAACGCUACAAACUCCGAAUAUUUAGCAACAACAAUCCAAAUAAGGUCCAAAAAAUACCCAAAAAACUUGAAAAAUCAGGAAAUAGGGAAGGNNNNNNNNNNNNNNNNNNNNNNNNNNNNNNNNNNNNNNNNNNNNNNNNNNNNNNNNNNNNNNNNNNNNNNNNNNNNNNNNNNNNNNNNNNNNNNNNNNNNNNNNNNNNNNNNNNNNNNNNNNNNNNNNNNNNNNNNNNNNNNNNNNNNNNNNNNNNNNNNNNNNNNNNNNNNNNNNNNNNNNNNNNNNNNNNNNNNNNNNNNNNNNNNNNNNNNNNNNNNNNNNNNNNNNNNNNNNNNNNNNNNNNNNNNNNNNNNNNNNNNNNNNNNNNNNNNNNNNNNNNNNNNNNNNNNNNNNNNNNNNNNNNNNNNNNNNNNNNNNNNNNNNNNNNNNNNNNNNNNNNNNNNNNNNNNNNNNNNNNNNNNNNNNNNNNNNNNNNNNNNNNNNNNNNNNNNNNNNNNAAUAGGGAAGGAGGGGGGUGGGGGGGUGGGGGUGGGGGGGGGGGUAGAAAUACGAAGGAAAAAUGAUGGGAAGUUGAGAAAAGUAGGGGCGCUCUUUUACACCCCACUUCUCCUUCACCAGCAAGUUCCUUUUAGCCCCCUCUCUUUGUAACAUCACCAGCAGUCUGGAUGAAGAUCGGAAAUAUAGGGAAACUCAAUCCAAAAACUAGGCAAGGUAUCUAAGUGCUUCGUGGCUCAUCCCUCUCCAUUUUUGUCUAGGUUUUCCCUGGAUGUUCCACCACCUCAACAAGCAAAAUUUCUCUUAAUCGGUGACACCCUUCGUUAACUUUCUGAGGGGUAGAAUCUCUCCACAGAGGCAAAGAACCCGCAAGACUAGUUAUUUAGAAGACCAAGAAGUUUGAAGUAUGGGCUGGAGAGGUGGUUCGUGAACAUUUGUGUGUUAAAACAUAUUUUUAUAUAUAACUUGGCAUUUUUGAAGCUUUUCUGUUUUUUAACUCGUUCGAAUAUCCUGGUAUUUUUACUUUCUCACAAGGCGGUUUUAUUAUAAGAGGACGGCAUUUCUUAUUAUAAGAGGGAUAUCAUUUUUAUUAGAAGAAUAUGUCAGUUUUUAUUAUAAGAGGAUGCCAUUUUUUUAUUAUAAGAGGAUGGCAUUUUUAUUAUUAGAGGAUGACCGUUUUAUUUUAUAAGAGCAUGUCAUUUUUAUAAUGGAAUGUCAUUUUUUAUUGUUGUGAGGAUGUCAUGUUAUUACUACUUAAGAGGAUGAAAAUUUUAUUAUAAGAGGGUGAUAUUUUUUGUUUAUAAUAUAAGAGGAUGGCAUUUUUUUGUAUACGAGGAUGGUACUUUUAUUGUUAGAGGAUGGCCAUUUUAUUUAUAAGAGCAUGCCAUUUGUUUAUUUUAUAAUAGGAUAAGCAUUUUUAUUACUGCGAGGAAGGCAUUUUUAUUAUUUUAAGGAGGAUGACAUUUUUAAUAUUGAGAGGUGGCAUUUUUUACUAAAACUUUUUUUUGCACACAAGUUUUUUGGGUGUUGAUUAGGAACAUGGUAACUUUUGUGGCAUUUAAAAAAAUCAUUGUCUGGUUUAUUUUUUCAUUUUUACAGCAUGGGAAUUUUGUGUUGGGUCCAUGAAAAAAAAGAACAAAAUGGUUUCCCAUAUUGGCAUGGCAGUUUUACAAGUAGCAUGACAUUUCUCACUUUUCAUACAAUGGCACUCAUAAUUUCAUUUCCCCCUGUUUUUUAAUAAGAAAAUGUGUAUUUUUUUCAUGGCAAUAAAAAAAACCCCAGCAAAACUGGGCCUCUAGCCCAAUGGGCCUCCUCCCGGCGAUCGAUCAAAUGUUCGAUGGGAGCAGCUCCCUAUGGAAGGAUCCCCUGAAAUCACUAAUUGAGGAGUACUCAUUGCAAAGAUCACUCUCACCUUCCCAGGUUGCGAUAAGUGGCGCGCUGCAUGUGCACCACUUGUCGCAACUUGGGAGUUUUUCCCUUUUUAUAGAUCCGUAUAUUCAAAACGUUUUAUCUCUUAAACCGUGCGUCCAAAUCUCAAACCGUUUUCACCGUUGGAUUCCUCGCGUUGAGAUCUUCAGAACUAGAUUCCAUGUCGAUAGGUUUUAACGAACUUUUUUUCAUGAAAAAAUAGGACGAAAAAACCAGAUGAGAAAACCAAACCGGGAGCAUGGGUUUUAAGCACAACCGUGCCUCUCGCGGAAGCAAAACCGUGCCUCUCGCGGAAGGAAAAAAAGAGAAAACAUUUUUUUUCCGUUUUCACGGGAGGCACGGCCAUGCUUCUGGCGAAAGCACAACCAUGCCUCUCGCGGAAGCAAAACCGUGCCUCUCGUGAAAAAAAAGAAAACACAUUUUUUUUCCGUUUCCGAGAGGCACGGCCGUGCCUCUCGCGAAAACACAACCGUGCCUCCGCGGAAGCAAAACCGUGACUCUCGCAAAAAAGAAAAAGAAAAGAAAACACAUUUUUUUCUUCGUCUCUGAGUGAAAGCACAACCGUACCUCUCGCGGAAGCAAAACCGUGCCUCUCACGGAAAUAAAAUAAAAUAGAAAACACGUUUUUCUGUUUCCGAGAGGCACGACUGUGACUCCCAUGAAAGCAAAACCGUGCCUCUCGCGGAAACAAAACCAUGACUCUCGCGAAAGGGAAAAGCACAUUUUCCGUGCAAUUUUUUUAUCCAAAAGCUAAGGAAUACCGGUGGAAAACCGAAACGUCGGAAACCCCUAGAAAAAACCCGUUUAAAAAGCCGAAAACUCGUGCAGAAAAAUAAAAAGAAUUCGGAGGGAGCGCCCAGAGCAUGACACGUGGUGAAUGGCUGAGAGCGCGCCAAGUGGCACUGAUCGUUGUGAGGCACCCGAAGAAGCGCUCGUUAACUAGUUGCUCCCAGGAUCCCCAGUUAUUGGUGUCUUUUUUGUAACACACAUGUUAAGAUUCCCUUUGUGUAUACCCCCUCUGUAAAUAAAUAUAAGAGCGUUUAGAUCACUAUCUAAACCCUCUUGUCUUUCACGGAGGGAGUAGAUGGUAAGAUUUGUUUUAAUAGACGGAAUUUUUUUAACAUGUGUUAAGAUUUCUUAAAAAAAGGAAUGUGUUUUUUUGUGAAUAGUUUUUUUUUGAAAAGGAGGGUCACUUUUGGCCUCUGCAUGAGACUGAUGCAUGCAAUCAUAUUAUUAAACAAAAGUCUCAAAAGGUCUGUGGUUUAGUACAAGCUCUCAUGGAGCUAAAAUGAAAUGAAAUGAAGAUAAAAGUUGCCACAAUCGGCAAAAGUAGGACGAGAUGAGUAAACACCUAGCCCCCAUCUUUGCUUUGCCAACUUAUUCUUAGUCAGAAUCACCCCCUUGUGAACUAACCACAUGAAGAUUUUGAUUUUUAGAGCUACUUUAAUCUUCCAAAUAUGCAAUGACUUCGGUAUUGGAGCAGAAUCAAUUAGGUCUAAAUACAUAGAUUUCACUGAGAAAACCCCAUUUACAGAUAGUUUCCAGUGAAUCGAAUCUGGCUCAUCAGAGAGGUGCAUGUCCAUCAACCUCCGCACGAGAUGUAGCCAUGCUUCCCAUCGGUCUCCUAAUAAGGACCUCCUGAACUGGAUGUUAGUGGGAGAGACCUGAUGCGGAGCAUCAAGACCGUAAUACUGUAACAAUAUAAGCAUCUUUAUGAUGUACAAUAUUAUAAAGAGAUGGAUAUUGUGUGGCUAAAGCCGUCUCCCUAUCCAUGUAUCCUCUAGUGUAAUUACCUUUCCCAAUGAUGAACUUCUUCUUGUGGAAGAAGGCUGCUUUCGUCUUCAUUAGUGCCUUCCAGAAAGGCGAGUCAUUGGGUCUUACAGUAACCUAGGCCAAGGUCUUAGAUUGCAGGUACUUAUUAUGCAAAAUAUGUACCCACGUACCUUCGGUCUCAACCGAAAGUUUGUACAACCAUAUACUCACUAGACAUCUAUUCUUUGCUUUUAAAUUCUUAAUCCCGAGCCCACCCUGGUUCUUUGGUAUACAAAUAAUAUCCCACUUGGCAAGCCUGUAUUUUGUCUUUAUCUAAUCACAUUGCCAUAAAAAUCAUGAUCAAUAGAAGUCUAACAUUUUUCAUCCCCUACGGAUAUUUCAAGGUAAGACAAUAGGAACAUCGGCAUACUGGUGAGCACUGAGUUGAUCAGUACCAAUGGACCGCCAUAAGAACUAAGCUUACCCUUUCAGCAUCUUAGUUUUUUUUCUUCAAAUCGAUCUUCAAUACACUUCCACUCCUUGUUGGAUAGCUUGCGAUGAUGAAUUGGUAUGCCCAAAUAACUAAAUGGUAGGGACCCAGUUCACAUCCGAACAACUAUCUAUAAGCCUCUUAUUCAUCUUUGGCUCUCCCAAAGCAGAACAAUUUACUUUGUUGAAGUUGAUUUUCAACCCGACAAUUGCUCAAACAAGCAUAGCACAAGCUUCAUAUUUCUAGCCUUUGUCAAAUCUUGUUCCAUGAAAAUAAUAGUGUCGUCAGGUAUUGUAGUAUGGACAAGGACAGGGUACGACAUGUGUAAUCAUUCACUUUAAUCCCUACACUGCCUUUUUGCACAAAUGACUCGAACUGUUUCCUCCAGGAAUUGCCGAACCCCUUCAUACGUAAGGCCUGCUGGAGGAAGGGUCAUUUAACCUUAGCAUAUGCCAUCUUGAAGUCUACUUUGAAAACAACCCCAUCCAGUUUUUUUGAGUGGAUUUCAUGUAGGACGACAACACCCUCUAGUAUGUGUCUGCCCGACAUGAAAGCCGUCUGAGUUGGUUGCACAACACCAUGUGGAGUCCGCGUCGGUCGGUUCGUACCAACUUCAGUAAAAGUUUUGAAAAUCACAUUUUGGGAAUAGAUGGUAAGAUUUUUUGUGUAUAGUUUGCCAUUUUUUUUUUGCAACUGUGACCAUCCGAUCUUGUGUACAUAAAGAAAAACCUCAAAAAGAAAAAAAAGGAACGUGUUUAAGAUUUCCUUUGGCUUAAUGCAUCCUUUCACCCUUCAAAAGUAGAAGACUAAAAUGUGUAUAUAUAGAAAAAGUGUGGUAUUUAAUUUGACAGUAGGCAGCUAUAGUACAGUAUGCUCAGUGGAGUCGGAUCUCCGUUUCCUAGCCAAAAUUUCACCUAGAAACUAGCUAGAGAGGGGUAGGGGAAACAUGAAAGAAAGAGAACUACCACUACUCAAAAUCAGAUAAUAACUAUAACAAGCUCAACUAAAAAGCAAACUAGCUAGCUAACUAUAUGUACACAUACUUAGGGACUGCUGGACUGGAUGCAAAGCUUGUAGGGUCACCGGUAGUUAGUUCAACUUUGAGCUAAGUACUGAUAUAUGGUCACCAAAAAAUUCACCCGUUCCGGACGGUGCCUUAGUUGUGCUUUUUCGGGUGAGGCUUGGGUGGUUCUCCACGGCGAGCAAGCACGGCCACCUUAUCAGACUCAACACCAAGGCUCCCCCGGUUGCCAAAGCUUGGUUCAGCAGAUCCCUUUUGUAUCUCCUCCACUCCCACGUUUUUAACUUUCUUGGUCUUCCCUGCAUCGAGCUUCAUGGUACUCCCUUGCUGUAACCCUUUCUUUACAGACGAGGAAUCACCGGUUGGCAUGGACGGGUCCUUCACUGCGUGAAGCAACAUAUGAGCAGCUGGUGAGAUCAACAACACUACUACUUGUGACUGAAUAAAUGUUACUACAAACUUGAGAUGAACAGUGCAAAUAAGAAGCGAAAAAUUAGACUCACCGUGGCGAGCAUGAGCGAGGGGAUGAUGGCCAAGGGCGAGCAGGGAGAUGACCAGGGCAACUGUAAGAAGAACUCGGACAGUAGUCAUGGUGAACUCCAAUUAACUGCCGACGGCCGGUAAAUCUUGGUGGGCUGGUGAAGGGGUGAUGAGGAGAGGAGUGUGAAGAGAGGAGGAAGGCUGAGGCUUGUUGGGUUCUUAUAGAAGAAUGCUUGUUAGUUUAAACACUGGUAGUCAGAUAUAGAUCGAAGACUAGCUGCUAGCUGGGUGGUCAAAGCUCAGAUUUCUUACAGACUGUUAUAUACAAGUACAGAACAUCUGCCGCGGUGUUGUUUAACAAACCCUACGAGUGUAAGCUUUCUCUCUUUUACUACUGCAGCUGCUCAGAGGGCCACGCAGCAUGCACUUGCACUGAUGCGUAAAAACGUGUGGCUUCUGACGGUGGGGGUGUGCCAAGCAGUGGCUCCCUCUUGGGAUCCGAGCUCCCUGUUGGACUCCCGACACAUCGGCGCCACAGGCGAGAAGGUACGACUGUGCGUGCCACGGCGCCAGUUUUCUAAUCCCAGUUUCACAUCGCUUUGAUCCAUCUACUGUCCCGGGCCAGGCAUAAGACCAAGAUCAUAUGUUCCUAGGCAACUCUGCAACCCUCGAGCUCGAGUGAGUUUUAAAAGUUAAGCAUUCAGGAAUCGAACCAACCUUCAAAGAAAGAGAGUUUAAAAAACUGUGCAUUUCAGGAAUCUAACAGAGGCCGGUUCCCAAAUUCCAACGAAGAAAGGAGGAAGGGCAAAUUUGUAGCCACUGCAGCUGCAAAGGUGGUGGUGGGUCAUUUUUAGUAGUAGAGUGAAUUCCAUUUUUUACCCCUAGAGUUCACUUUUGUGAUAGAUAUUACCCCAUUUAGCAAAAAUUUGCAAUUUAUACUUAAUUUACGCAAGUUUGUUGAAGUAUAAAUGCAUAAGCUACAUUUCCUCACUAGUUUGAAAUUUUGGGUGAAUUGGCAGGUUCAAGACCCGGCUGGCGCAAUUUAAAAAUAAAAAAAAUUGCAACCUACUUUCGGUUCACGUUUAGGCCUAAGGAAGCCACAUGUGAGAGUGGGGUUGUUGAAGCAUAAAUGCAUAACCCACCUUUCUCCAUCAGCUUGAGCUUUUGGGUGAACUAGCUGGUGCGUGUAGUUCUACAGUUUGUGACACAUUUUAACCCAUUUCAUUUUUUCCAGCCACCAACUAAAUCCUACAACCUCUCUCAAGUGAUGAGAAAAUCCGCAGAAAUUUAAAGAAGUUUAAGUGUGCCACGUCGAUCCAUACACAUCGGCUCCGACCUCCCCCUUUUGGCAUCACAAUGGCCGCGCUCUGGAUACGCGCACACUACCUCGACAACCGCGGCGUCCGAGCGCAUGCACACAUCUAGGCGGGCUCUACAUGGCCACACGGCUACUACUGGCGCCAAACGCAUCUGCAAGGCAUGUGGUCAUCCUCUGCAGCGGUAGGUUGAUUAUACAUGGUGUGUGUGAAGCUUGUUUUCAAUUUAAAGGCCUAUGCAAUAUGAUCCAAAGACCUACUUGUGUAAGCACUUAUUGUCCAGCGAAUCUAUGACCUCCAUGUGCCAAGUGUUGAUACUAACAAGGAGCGAAGACAAUACGAGGAGCAUGAGAAGGCAUGAUGCCUAAAGCGAUGAUCCGAUCAAAGGACCUUAAUUAUGGAGCCUUCUUGCAUUCUUUUGGUGGAACAUAAACUGGCGAUGGGGGUGAUGUUACAUAACCACCACUACCCUGGCCUAUCCCCACACCCCCAUUCUUCUUACUUCCCAUGUUCUGAACACCGUCGGAUCCGCCCCUGCAAGUCAUUCACCCCUGCCAUGCCUGUAUUCAUGACCAAUUUCCUGGAUUCUCGGCUCUUGUCCUUAUCAACACUUGAGCUAUCAACAUUGUUUCCUUCCCUACACUACAAAAAAAAAAGACACAUCCGUGACAUUUUGGGCCAAUCGAUUUUUUUUCCUGUCAUACUUAUAACACUUCUAUGACGAUAAUUGUGACAAAACCCGGUAUCAUCAUAGAUGUGGUGGGCUUCGACUUCUAUGACAAAAAAUCAUGAUAGAAAAUGGGCUUUUCGUCCUGGGCGGGCCGGAGACGCAGCUGCAUGACAUUUUUUGGGCCGUCCAUGACGAAAAAAGCCAUGGUAGAAGCGAGGGCGAGGAAAAUAUCGGUCCCGGUUAUGGUGGGUGGUCGGGGCCGAGCGAUGCAUGGAGGUUUGUGCGUUUCUCUUGUACACGCACGCGCGUGGGUGCGAGGCGUUGGGAUCUAACUGAACCCGAGCAAGGCGUUCGCCUACUGAACCCGAGCGAUUGCACUGCAGGCUACGCGUUACUGAACCCGAGCGAUCAAUCAUGGCUAUUAACUGAACCCGAUCGAGCAAUUCCUUCGCUACUGUUGCUAACUGAAGCCGAUCGAUGCUGUCUCUGGAUGAANNNNNNNNNNNNNNNNNNNNNNNNNNNNNNNNNNNNNNNNNNNNNNNNNNNNNNNNNNNNNNNNNNNNNNNNNNNNNNNNNNNNNNNNNNNNNNNNNNNNNNNNNNNNNNNNNNNNNNNNNNNNNNNNNNNNNNNNNNNNNNNNNNNNNNNNNNNNNNNNNNNNNNNNNNNNNNNNNNNNNNNNNNNNNNNNNNNNNNNNNNNNNNNNNNNNNNNNNNNNNNNNNNNNNNNNNNNNNNNNNNNNNNNGGGGGUAGAUGAACAGGACCCCAUGGCGUUGCCUCUGGAUGAACAGGACCCCACUCGAUCGAGCCGGUUGAGGCUGGAUGAACAAGACCCCGUGGAGGGCUGAAUGAACAGGACGACCCCGUGGAGGGCUGGAUGAACAAUAGACGAUGAAGGGGUGGAUGAAUAGUAGCCCGUGGAGGGGUGUUUGAACAGGAGCCCGUGGAGAGGGCUGGUUGAACAGUAGCCGGUGGAGUAGCUGGCGGUGGAGGCUAGAUGAACAGGAGCUCGUGGAUGAACAGUCACAGGUGGAGGCUGGAGGAGGUCGACGAUGGAUGAACAGUAGCCCGUGGAGGCUAGAGGAGGUCGACGGUGGAGAUGAACAGUAUCCCGUGGAGUCCCGUUUUGCGGUACCCCACACCCUCCCGAUGAACAGGACCCCCGUUUCGACAGCAGCGCUCCAACACAAGUCUGUUUCCACCGUUUUGUGGUACGCCACACCCCUCCCGAUCAAUAGGACCCCGUUUCGACCGUAGGAGGUCCAACACAAGUCCGUUUCCUCCGUUUUGCGGUACGUCAGACCCCUCCCGAUGAACAAGACCCCGUUUCGAACGUGGCCGAUCGAACACAAGGCUGUUUCCUCCGUUCCGAGGUACGCCAGGCCUCGUUUCCAUCGGCUGUUCCGUCCAAGCCCUCCCGAUGAACACGACGACACAUUCCAUUCUGACCCAGCCGGUUGGCUCCCCAUGAACACGACGACGACGCUGUUUCUCCGUUCCGACCCAUCCAUCUACACGAGCCCUGUCCGUAUGUAUGCGCGAGUAGGCAUUCGAGACCCCGCUCGUACGUACGUACGUGGCCGUAUUUUAUUUUUUGCACGCUGGCCGCUAUACGUACAUGUACAUGCUACGUGCGUGCCUCUACUACGACACGUGCGCGCCUCUACAUCGACCAGUAUGUACGUACAUGUUCGCGACCAGAAUGACAACGCUACAUACGCUUCGACCAGGUGGGUUCCGUCUGUCAGGCACUUCCUUGCGUGCGAAGAUGUAGCUGGUGGGUCGCAGCAGUCAGGGGGCAAAUCAUUUUUUUUGCCGAUAAUAUAGACGCACUUCCUUGCGUGCGAAGAUGUAGCUGGUAGGUCCCAGCAGUCAGGGGGGAAACAUUUUUUUCGCGAAAUACGGUGGCCCGUCCGGUGGGUCCUUGCUGUCACGUGGAGGAAUCAUUAUUUUCCGCGUAAUAAGGAGGCACUUCCUUGCUGCGGUCGUGGACCCAGCUGUUAGCCUCUCCACGUAUAGUCCACGUCCGAUGGAAGUCGUUCCAUGACCACGUUGACCACACCGCGCCGAGAGCACCAGGGCGGUGGACGACGGCGAGGCCUAGGAAGGGGACAACGCAGAGCCGGGGAAGACGCGGCAGUGGAAGCCCGUGCGGAGAGGAGUACGAGGGUUUACUGGUUCGACUGCGGUGUGAGGCUGCCGUCGCCGUAGGGCCUGGCCAACGGUGGGAGUAGUAGGGGGCGGUGAGGCCUCUGCGGCAGCACAGCCGGCCACGGAAGGCAGGAGCAGGUGGCACAAUUGGCGCUGCUUUGGGCGGCUGGAGCAAGAAGACCAGAGGUUGAAGAAGCACUACGGCCAUUGGAUGAACAUCCUACGGUAACUGGAGCUAGAAUCGUUCAUAUUGACUAAGUUGACAAAGCCCUCCAUCCCUGUCAACUUAGUAGGCCCACAAGUCAGCAUCCACUAUGCUGGGUCCCAGCUAGCAGGGGGAGUAUUCAUUUUUUUGUGCAUAAUAAGGAGGCACUUCCUUGCGUGCGAAGAUAUAGCUAGUGGGUCCGACCUGUCAACGGGGGAACAUUUUUUUCACGAAAUACAGAGGCCCUUCCGGUGGGUCUCAGAUGUCAGCUAGAGGAAUCAUUAUUUUGCACGUAAUAAGGAGACAUUUCCUUGUGUGCGGCCGUGGACCCAGCUGUCAGCCUCUCCACAUACAGUCCACGUGCGAUGGAAGUCGUUCCAUGACCACGUUGACCACGCCAUGCCGAGAGCACCAGGGCGGUGGACAACGGUGAGGCCUAGGAAGGGGACAACGCGGAGCUAGGGAAGACGCGUAAGUGGAUGCCCACAUGGAGAGGAGUACGAGUGUUCACUGGUUCGGCUGCGGUGUGAGGCUGCCUUCGCCGCAGGGCCUGGGUUAGCAGUGGGAGUAGUAGAGGGCGGUUGAGGGCUCAAUGGUAGCACAACUGGCAACUGGAGGCAGGAGCAGGCGGUCUCGCCGGCGCUGGUUUGGGCGGCUGGUGCAAGAAGAGCAGCGAUUGAAGAAGCAACAGGACUGUUCGAUUCAAAUCCAACGGUUACUGAUGAGGGUAUAGACUUAGGGUAGGGUCACAUGCCUGACCUAGGUGCCCCACCCAAGGUCACUACCCUAGAAGCAAAGAAACCCAAGAGAUAACGGGAAGUGCCCAAGGAAGGCGUCGAGUGUAAGUCACUCGACGACCACAUCACUCGGGAACCCCAAUUUUAUGAAGAUCACUCGACCUAUGAAGACCAAGAGUCAGUCGGAAUCACAACGGUCGGACGUUCACUCUGUAGUCUUUAUAGGCAUUAAUUGUACUUAAAGUUGGCGUUAUUAGUAACAUCCCUCCUUAAUGAACAUUGAACCCUCUGUAACAGAGGGGAGCUGGGGCCCUGGCACACUCUAUAUAAGCUACCCCCCUCCUCUGGGACAAGGGUUUGCACCCCCUGUAACGUCACACACAUAUAAUCCAGUCGACCGCCUCCGGGCACCGAGACGUAGGGUUAUUACUUCCUCUGAGAAGGGCCUGAACUCGUAAAUCCCUUGUGUACACCUUCACCAUAGCUGAGAUCUUGCCUCUCCAUACCUACCCCCCUUUCUACUGUCAGUCUUAGAACCACGACAGUUGGCGCCCACCGUGGGGCAGGUGUCUUAGCGACUUGUUGGUGAAGUUGCAAUUUUUUUCUGAUCCCCAUCAUCAUGGUUUCCGGCGGUGGUUUGGCUGAGGGGCGCGAGAUCCGUCUCGGCGCACUCGUUUUCAUCGCCGACGACUCUGCUUGGCUUCAAGAAGCUCCCCUUGACGUCGAGGCGCUCCCCGUCCGAGGGGCGACGCACUUUCGCGCGUGCAUUCACGGCGUCCUUCUCCGGCAGCCGUCGACUCAGUAUCAGUCAGCUCCAAUGGUGUCGUCUCCCCCCGCUGUUCGCCACCAGAAGCGAUCUGGUCGGUCACGGCUUCAGCGGUGGGUGAAACACGCAAUGGCUCGACAUUCGGCCACCCAUCAAGUUGCGGCAAUUGAGCCCGACGAAACUCUCUACGGCAUGUUCGAUCUGUCGACUAGCUCCGCCGAGACCGCAUCCGAGUGCGAUAGUAGCGAUCCUGCGGCUGAAGUGUUGAUGGUCGAUGGACCACAUAGUCCAUCUGGUGUCCCCCGUGGAGACGGCGGGAAUGGGGGCGGUGAUCCGUCGCGCGUCCACGAGGAGUACCAUCCCGAACCCCUCUCUUCAUAGCAGAGGGAAGAACUUCGGCACCGCAAUAUGGAUGCACUCCACACACCCAUCGUUGGAGAAACCCCCGAGGUUCGGGCCUUGGAAGCGACGCGCUUGGCUAAUUUGGCUGAGCACACUCGAUUGGAAAAACCUCCAGCAUGCUCUCGACGAGCGUGCUCGGGAAUGGAUUCCCGAGUCCAGUCGACGACAGCUUUUCCCACCUCCACCUAAGGUAUACCACACUCUGAUUCAAAAUCUCAUAGCUGCAACCCGAAUAGCAGAGUAAAUUCAACCUUCCCAGUCAGAGGCUGGCAGAGGUUUGAUGCAGAUCCGGGCCUUACUCCGGGCAGCAGGAGAGCUGAACACAGUGGUGUCUCAGUUGCGGGGUUAAGAUUCAUAGCAGAUCCGUGGUGGUGGAUACUGUCCAGUCGGCCCACAAUCCAAGAUUGCCCCUGCGACGUGAGGGCCGUGGGCAGUAUGAUCACCGACUCGACCGCGACAAUCAUCAUCGGAUGCCGACACCUCCUCUGAGGAGUACAUCAUAUGCGCCUCGGCAGUACGAUGAUAGACGCCUUCACAGCAACGAACAUAGAGCAUCAGUCAACCCAAGGGAGCCAGGCUUUGAUGCAAGAUCUAUUCUCGUUCAAGGUUUAGUCGACCGGAACGGAGCGCAGAGGGAAGACCUUGGUAGAGAUCGCCCGACUGGCAACAGGGUUCAUGUUUUAGGUCCAGAGUGUUUUAGCAGAGCCAUUAGGGCUGUAGUGAUUCCCCCCAACUUCAAGUUGGCGACUGGAGUCAGCAAGUUCACUGGGAUGUCCAAGCCUGAAACUUGGCUUGAAGACUACCGAGUGGCUGUACAGAUUGGUGGCAGGAAUGAUGAAGUGGCAAUAAAGCAUCUUCCUCUGAUGUUAGAAGGAUCAGCCAGAGCAUGGUUGACUCAAUUAGCCCCGAACAGUAUAUACAGUUGGGAAGAACUUGCUCGAGUGUUUGUCAGAACUUUUGAGGGCACUUGCAAGCGGCCAGCGGGGUUGACAGAAUUGCAACAUUGUGUGCAGAAACUGAGUGAGACUCUGAGGGAUUUCAUUCAGAGGUGCACCACUUUGCAUCUCAUAGUGGAGAAUGUAUCUGAACAUCAAGCACUGUGUGCCUUCAAAGAAGGCGUUAAAUACUGAGAACUGGUCCUGAAGUUCGGUCGGACUGGGGAUAUGACUCUGACUCGGAUGAUGGAGAUAGCCACCCGGUAUGCUAACGGAGAAGAAGAGGAUCGACUCCGUAGCGGAAAGGGCAAACCAGUCGGCUAGGACGCCGACGGAAUUAAUUCCAGUCGGAAACAAAAACGUAAGGCCGAGCCCACGGCACCCGGUAAAAUUGCGGCAGUGGUUCAAGGAAAGUUUAAAGGGAAACCUAAGGGGCCCUGGACCCCUAAGAAGGUAAAGGACCAAGCGGGAAAUGAUGUGUUGGAUUUGCCAUGUCACAUUCACAUGAAGAAGGAUGAAGAGGGUAAUCUGAUUUACCCUAAACACACCACUCGACAAUGUCGACUCCUGAUCCAGCAGUUCCAAAGAGUUGGACAAAGACGAGGAUGAAGAAGAAGAUGAUGGUUAUCCCAAAGUCAAUUCCACCCUGAUGAUCUUUGCUGAUGUUGAGAGCAAGAGUCGAUUGAAAGUUAUCAACAGAGAAGUGAACAUGGUUGCCCCGGCAACAAUGACUACAUACCUGAAAUGGUCCCAAACAACCAUCAUGUUCGACCAGUCUGAUCACCCUGCGCAUAUAGCCAUCCCUGGGAGGCAAGCGUUGGUGGUCGACCCAGUGGUCGAAGGCACUCGACUGACCAAAGUGCUAAUGGAUGGUGGUAGCGGCAUGAAUAUCCUUUAUGCUGAAACCUUGAAGGGGAUGGGCAUUCUGAUGUCCAAACUUAGCGAGAGCAAUAUGAGUUUCCAUGGCGUUAUCCCUGGAAAGAAAGCCAAAUCACUCGGCCAGAUCGCCCUUGACGUGGUUUUCGGUGAUUCCAAGAAUUACCGUAAGGAAAAGUUGACAUUUGAAGUUGUGGAUUUCUAGAGUGCUUAUCAUGCCAUUCUGGGUAGGCCUGCCUACGCAUGUUUUAUGGCUCGACCAUGUUACGUGUACCUCAAGUUGAAGAUGCCUGGCCCCAGAGGUGUGAUCACGGUUACUGGCAAUCGGCAAAAGGUGGAGGAAUGCUUCCAGAAGGGUUCCAAGAUUGCCGAUGCGCAAAUGGCAGCAGUUGAAUUUCAAGAAUAUCAGAAGAAUGCAGAUCCGAGCGAUUUACUCCGAGCUAAGAGACCUGCCACAGAUUCUGCAUUUCAGUCGUCCGGUGAAACAAAGCCGAUUCAUAUUCACCCGACCGAUCCCAAUGCCGCACCGACUCAUAUCUCAACAACACUCGACAACAAAUAGGAAGAAGCACUCAUCCAGUUCCUCCGUGAGAACUGGGACAUCUUCGCAUGGAAACCUUCUGACAUGCCGGGUGUACCCAGAGAACUGGCUGAGCACCGUUUGCGCGUCGAUCCCAAGAUAAAACCUGUCAAAUAGCAUCUUUGAUGGUCCGCCGUGCAGAAGAGGAAGGCAAUUGGCGAGGAAGUGGCUCAGCUCCUAGCAGCAGAGUUCAUCCGAGAGAUCUACCACUCCGAGUGGCUUGCCAAUGUGUUCAUGGUCCCUAAGAAGGACGAUUCACUUUGUAUGUGCAUCGAUUUCAAGCAUAUCAACCGGGCCUUCCUGAAUAAUCAUUUCCCUCUCCCCCGCAUCGAUCAAAUUGUUGACUCGACUGUGGGGUGCGAGCGCUUGUCUUUUUUAGAUGCAUAUUCCGGGUACCAUCAGAUCCGACUGUAUGGUCCCGAUGAAAUAAAAACGGCUUUCAUCACCCCAUUUGGGUGCUUUUGCUAUGUCACCAUGCCAUUUGGUCUUAAAGAUGCCGGAGCCACAUUCAUCAGGAUGAUUCAGAGUGCCUGCUCACCCAGAUCAGUCGGAAUGUGUAAGCAUACAUGGAUGACAUUAUGGUCAAGUCUCGUAAAGGUUCCGACCUACUAACUGACCUUGCCAACCUUUGCCAACCUAAGAAGGUAUGAUAUCAAGCUUAAUCCGUCAAAGUGCACAUUCGGAGUUCCAGGUGGAAAGUUACUUGGUUUCCUCGUUUCCGAGCGAGGGAUUGAUGCCAAUCCAAAAAAAGUCGAUACCAUCCUUCGAAUGAAACGCCCUGUGCGUGUGCAUGACGUUCAGAAGCUUACUGGUUGUUUGGCCGCCUUGAGUUGAUUCAUCUCUCGUCUCGGUGAAAAGGCCUUGCCUCUCUACCGAUUGAUGAAAAAAUCUAAUAAGUUCGAGUGGACCGGUGAAGCUGAAGCAGCAUUCACAGAGCUCAAAACCCUGCUUUCCACCCAGCCAGUGCUUGCUGCACUAAUCAGCAAAGAACCUUUACUGCUUUACAUUGCAGCCACUGGACAAGUUGUCAGUACCGUACUCACGGUCGAGCAAGAAGAAGAAGGAAAAGCUUACAAAGUUCAGCGCCUAGUGUAUUAUCUCUCUGAAGUUUUAACUCCAUCCAAGCAGCAAUACCCACAUUAUCAGAAGCUUGUCUAUGGAAUAUACAUGACCAUGAAGAAGGUUGCGCACUAUUUCUCUGAUCACUCCAUUACAGUCGUCAGUGACGCACCAUUAUCUGAAGUUCUGAACAACAGAGAUGCAACUGGUCGAGUGGCAAAAUGGGCGAUUGAACUUCUUCCAUUGGAUAUCAAGUUUGAGGCAAAGAAAGCCAUCAAGUCCUAGGCAAUCAUAGAUUUUCCUGCCGAGUGGGUUGAGCAGCAACUGCCGACUCAGGUUCACUCGGAGCAUUGGACCAUGUUCUUAGACGGCUCCAAGAUGCUGAAUGGUUCCGGUGCUGGGGUAGUUUUGGUAUCCUCCUGUGGAGGUAAGCUUAGCUAUGUUGUCCAGAUUCAUUUUGAUUCCUCCAACAAUGAAGCUGAAUAUGAAGCACUUUUAUACAGGCUGCGUAUGGCCAUUUCACUUGGCGUCCGUCACUUUAUGGUCUACGGUGACUCAGAUUUGGUGGUUAAUCAAGUGAUGAAAGAGUGGGAUAUCAGGAGCCCGGCCAUGACUGGCUAUUGUAAUGCGGUAAGAAAGUUGGAAAAGAAGUUUGAAGGGUUGGAGCUCCACCAUAUACCCCGACUGAAAAAUCAAGUCACAGAUGAGUUGGCUAAGAUAGGAUCUAAGAGGGAAGCCAUUCCCAGCAACGUGUUUUUGGAGCAUAUUCACUCACCUUCAGUUCAGGAAGAUCCUUUCACUGAAUAGCCCCCACAACCUAAGAGCACCACUAAUCUGACUGAAGUCGAAAUCCCAGCCGUGGUUGACUUAGUCAUGGAGGUUUUUGUUGUCACUCCCGACUGGACAGUGCCAUACGUUGCAUACAUUCUUAGGAAAGAACUUCCAGAGGAUGAAGAAGAGGCUCGACAGAUCGUCCCGCGAUCUAAAGCCUUUACUGUGAUAAAAGGUCAAUUGUUCAGAGAAAGUGUAAUUGGAGGCUGCCAGAAAUGCAUCAUGCCAGAAGAAGGCCGAAUGAUCCUCAAUGAUAUUCACUCGAGGACCUAUGGUCACCAUGUGUCCUCUUGGACCAUCGUGGCCAAAGCAUACCGAGCCGGAUUUUACUGGCCACAUGCGAACGAGAUGGCAAAAGAAAUAGUAGACAAAUGUGAAGGCUGUCAGUUUUACUCCAACAUGUUCCGUAAGCCAGCGUCAGCUCCGAAAACUAUUCCAAUCGUCUGGCCUUUCACUGUUUGGGGAUCGGAUAUGGUUGGGCCUCUGAGGACUAGCAGGAGCGGAUUUACCCAUGUGUUGGUAGUAGUCGACAAGUUUACCAAAUGGAUCGAAGCCAAGCCUGAAGCAAGUACAGCUGUAAGUUUCAUCAGAGAAUUGAUAUUUAGAUAUGGUGUUCCGCACAGCAUCAUCACGGAUAAUGUAUCAAACUUCGACUCUGACGAUUUCAGAGCCUUUUAUGCUUCCCAAGGCAUGAGGGUCGAUUACGCUUCAAUCGCCCAUCCUCAGUCGAAUGGACAGGCUGAAAGAGCAAAUGGUUUGAUUCUCAAAGGACUGAAACCCUGAUUGAUGUGUGACCUCAAGCAUGCAACAGGUGCCUGGGUCGAUGAACUUCCAUCAGUACUUUGGGGAUUGAGGACAACUCCUAAUCGGCCGACUGGACGAACUCCAUUCUUCUUAGUCUACGGAGCUGAAGCUGUACUCCCGAGUGACCUGCUCCACAAUGCGCCCCGAGUCGAGCUCUUCUCAGAAGAAGAAGCAAAACAGGCUCGGCAAGAUGCAGUCGAUCUCCUGGAAGAAAGAGAGAUGGCCUUGAUUCAGUCGACCGUUUAUCAACAAGACCUGCGUCGAUUCCAUGCCAGAAACGUAAGAGGUCGGGCAUUUCAGGAGGGAGACUUGGUUCUUCGAGUGGACCAGCAGAAACCACACAAGCUCGCUCCUGCUUGGGAAGGCCCCUUCGUCGUCACCAAAGUGCUCCACAACGGAGCAUAUCGUCUUUUCAACGUCGAGCACAAUAAAGAUGAGCCACACGCUUGGAAUGCGGAACUGCUCCUCCCCUUUUACUCUUAAGCAUUCAGACUGUUGAGAUGUAAUAAGAAAUACCUUUUAGUUUGAUUAUCAAAGACAUGAUUUAAAGUCUUCCAAAUAGUUUUUGUUCAUUUUUUGCAUAUUCUAAAAUCCCCCAGUGGGUGGCUUAGCUGCGAAUCCAUUGCGCCUAAGUAGGAAAAAAAUCCUAGCGAGUGGCGAGCGAUCCUCUCGCUCGGGGGCUUAGCUGUAGUCCAGAACUCGCCUAAGUAUAAAAAAAUCCUACCUAGUGGCGAGCCUGCCUCUCGCUCGGGGGCUUAGCUGCAGUCCAGUACCCGCCUAAGUAUAAAAAAUCCUACCGAGUGGCAAGAAAUCCUCUCACUCGGGGGCUUAGCUGCAGUCCACUACUCGCCUAAGUAUAAAAANNNNNNNNNNNNNNNNNNNNNNNNNNNNNNNNNNNNNNNNNNNNNNNNNNNNNNNNNNNNNNNNNNNNNNNNNNNNNNNNNNNNNNNNNNNNNNNNNNNNNNNNNNNNNNNNNNNNNNNNNNNNNNNNNNNNNNNNNNNNNNNNNNNNNNNNNNNNNNNNNNNNNNNNNNNNNNNNNNNNNNNNNNNNNNNNNNNNNNNNNNNNNNNNNNNNNNNNNNNNNNNNNNNNNNNNNNNNNNNNNNNNNNNNNNNNNNNNNNNNNNNNNNNNNNNNNNNNNNNNNNNNNNNNNNNNNNNNNNNNNNNNNNNNNNNNNNNNNNNNNNNNNNNNNNNNNNNNNNNNNNNNNNNNNNNNNNNNNNNNNNNNNNNNNNNNNNNNNNNNNNNNNNNNNNNNNNNNNNNNNNNNNNNNNNNNNNNNNNNNNNNNNNNNNNNNNNNNNNNNNNNNNNNNNNNNNNNNNNNNNNNNNNNNNNNNNNNNNNNNNNNNNNNNNNNNNNNNNNNNNNNNNNNNNNNNNNNNNNNNNNGCAGUCCAGUACUGGCCUAAGUAUAAAAAAUCCUACUGAGUGGCGAGCAAUCCUCUCACUCGGGGGCUUAGCUGCAGUCCAGUACUCGCCUAAGUAUAAAAAAUCCUACCGAGUGGCGAGCAAUCCUCUCACUCAGGGGCUUAGCUGCAGUCCAGUACUCGCCUAAGUAUGAAAAAUCCUACUGAGUGGCGAGCGAUCCACUCGCUCGGGGGCUUAGCUGCAGUCCAGUGAUACGUCUCCAACGUAUCUAUAAUUUUUGAUUGUUCCAUGCUAUUAUAUUACCCCUUUUGGAUGUUUAUGGGCUUUAUUUUAUACAUUUAUAUCAUUUUUGGGACUAACCUACUAACCGGAGGCCUAGCCCGUAUUGCUGUUUUUUUGCCUAUUUCAAUAUUUUGAAGAAAAGGAAUAUCAAACGGUGUCCAAACGGAAUGAAACCUUUAGGAGCGUGAUUUUUGGAACGAACGUGAUCUAGAGGACCUGGAGUGCAAGUCAAGAAGCAGCCGAGGCGUCCACGAGAGGGGAGGGCGCGCCCACCCCUACAGGGUGUCCCCUGUCUCAUGUGCCCCUCGGGCAGCCACCGACGUACUUCUUCCUCCUAUAUAAGCCUAUGUACCCGGAAAACAUCCAGGGAGCCACCGAAACACAAUUUCCACCGCCGUAACCUUCUGCAUCCACGAGAUCCCAUCUUGGAGCCUUCGCCGGUGCUCCGCCGGAGGGGGAAUCGACCACGGAGGGCUUCUACAUCAACACCAUAGCCCCUCCGAUGAGUUGUGAGUAGUUUACCACAGACCUUCGGGUCCAUAGUUAUUAGCUAGAUGUCUUCUUCUCUCUUUUUGGAUCUCAAUACAAUGUUCUCCCCCUCUCUUCUGGAGAUCUAUUCGAUGUAAACUCUUUUUGCGGUGUGUUUGUCGAGAUCCAAUGAAUUGUGGGUUUAUGAUCAAGUUUAUGUAUGGGAAAUAUUUGAAUCUCCUCUGAAUUCUUUUAUGUAUGAUUGAGUUAUCUUUGCAAGUCUCUUCGAAUUAUCAGUUUGGUUUGGCCUACUAGAUUGAUCUUUCUUGCCAUGGGAGAAGUGCUUAGCUUUGGGUUCAAUCUUGCGGUGUCCUUACCCAGUGACAGAAAGGGUUGCAAGUCACGCAUUGUAUUGUUGCCAUCGAGGAUAAAAAGAUGGGGUUUAUAUCAUAUUGCAUGAGUUUAUCCCUCUACAUCAUGUCAUCUUGCUUAAUGCGUUACUCUGUUCUUUAUGAACUUAAUACUCUAGAUGCAGGCAGGAGUCGGUCGGUGUGUGUCACGACCGGUUUUCCAAUAAAACGCUUAUUGAGAAACCGACCCUUAUAUAGACCAGUAUAGGAAAAAUCUCCUUACUGGUAGACAAAUCCUUGAUAUAGAAAUCCAGAAGUACUAAUUAUUGUACAAGGCUGAGCUGAGGCUGCUCAACAAUUUAUUACAAGCACGCCAAUAAUAUACAUAAAGGCGGAUAUGGCACACGGAGUAUGGUGGCAUACUACUGACUCGUAAUAAAAGUGGUGGUGGAUAUGUCACAGUGACGUGGAUGACACGAGUCCUAAAUCUUACAGCUCAUCGAGAGCUGGAGUGAGGCUCGAUGAAUUUAUUUGGGUAGCGGAAGCGUAUAUGAUACAAGUGACCAAUUCCAGGAUCGCACGAGACUGACUGGGACUCCUCUAGGCGUCGGACUCGCUAUCGUAUUCUUCAUCCAUAAGAUCACCUUCGUCGAUGUCUGGCCAAAUCAACAAGCUAGGUGAGUACUUUGAAUGUACUCGCAAGACAGUUUGGACAUAAGAUAUAACAAAUGCAAACAUGAUGCACAUGAGCAGAUUAGUAAUGCACACUCAAAUAAUAAAUUUGCACGACAGGUUAAUUAAAAAGGAAGUCAGGCGGUAGUCCUCCCGAGAUCCCAAAAAAUAACUGAAAACCGAUCGGGUGUCUGAAGCAACGCCUCGAAAGGUAGAAAUAAAUUAACAUGCCACAGUCGGGCGUGUGAGCGACACCACAUAAAGGGCUUAUACAAAAAUGUAAAUGACAGUGCGUGACACAGUCGGACGUCUACGCGACACCUCGGAAAGGGCUUAUAAUGAAAGUAAAUAAUAGGGAUGCCACAGUCGGACGUCUGAGCGACAUCACAUAAACGACUUAUAUUGAAAGUAAAUAACAAGAGUGCCACAGUCGGAUGUCUGGGCGACAUCACAUAAAGGGCUUAUAUCAAAAGUAAAUAACAAGAGUGCCACAGUCGGAUGUCUGAGCGACAUCACAUAAAGGGCUUAUAUUGGAAGUAAAUAACGAGAGUGCCAUAGUCGGACGUCUGAGCGACAUCUCAUAAAGGGCUUAUAUUUCAUCAUCUGAACUCAAGUUGUUCAUGAAAUUAAGUCAUUCCAAGAAAAUACUCAGUGAUAAUAAGCAGGUUAGUCCAUCCACAAGAAUAACAUUCAGCCGGGUUUACCACUCAUGUUUGUUCACCGGAGAUUGUCACUGAAACUGACACUGAGACUGACAUAGAUAAGUUGAUUAUAGUCCUUGACUAUAGAUAUGGUUACUCGAAUGAUUUUGACUCUGCAGAGUUUGUACUAUUUAACCACUGCCAACGGAUUUCAGUAGUCACAAAGGACUAGUUCCGUUUACGGUAUUUCAGAAGAAACUCAUCUAACCAGUACACACCCAUUCCACAUCCCGAUGCCAGGAAUCACCCUAGGCAACAUUCAAGAAAAACUUUGAGACAGGGAGGCCACAACCUCGAGUAGCAUGGGAUCAAAUUUAUAUCGCGCGCUCUAAGGGGUGCCCCCCUCUCGGUCCCAACCAGAAACACCCAUGCCCCCUGACCGGAUGACUGGCUUUAAUCUAGGGCCAUGGAACCCUCAUCACGGCCCCUCGAUUUGGUGUGUACGAGGAAAGAGGUUUGCAACCUACUAGACCAUAUUCUUUGCAGAAAACAUGUGGUAGCACACAAAAAGGGGAAGGACGGUAACGUGACUUGAUCCACGUUAACACUGGAGUCAAAUGGUUUGGCAUAAGACUGGCAUGCUUCAACAAUACCAUCUUACCACCUUUCAUGUCACCACAUGAUCAUGUUAUCUCCCAUCAAAUAACACAUCGAGUUUCGAAGCUCACUUGUAGUUGCUUUGCAUGCAAUAUAACACUUACUGAUGCUUAUAUAAACAUGCCAUGAAGGAACUACUCAAGCAAACAUGCAAAACACUCAUCAUAUCAAAGGUUCAAACAUGCUUGCCUGGUUCGGAGUAGUCGGAGUCUAGCUCGACGAAGUUCGCGGUUCCAUCACCUCCUCCGGUAUCUAUGGUAUAAAGAAAUCGCAUACUAACGUAAAUACCGUGUGUGCACAAAAAGUGUUCCAAAUAUUUUUCAAUUAAAUAUGAUAAAAAACUAGAUAGAAAAAUAAAGAUGACAGAAAAAGAAUUAAUUCGAAAUCAUCUUUUGUUUAAAAGUUAUUUAGGUUUUAGUCUAGGGACUCAUCUCUAAUGAAACAGAAAGUUUCCAGGGGGUAGUUUAUAAAAAGACAGAAAACGUUUCAGUUAGAAAGCGUAUUUUUCCCAAAGGCAUUUUUCAGAAAACGGUUCAAAAAGAAGAAAAAGCUGACGAGGGGGUCCCACCCGUCAGGUUUGAAUCUUCAAAACAAAGUCACCGGCGCCCGAGGGCUGCGGUGGUCGCCGGCGGCGAUCCACGGCGAGGUAGGGGGAAAGGAGGGUACCUACGGGUUCACUGAGUCCUUCCGCACCUGUGGGUGGUGGAUUUGGUCAUCGGCGAGCACCACGUUGACGGCAGCCUCUACUCCGGCGGACGGCGGUUCGGGUGGUGAUGGGUCUUGUCAAGGAGGGUUGCAACCUUCGGAUUGAAGCUUGGGUUAGAAGCGUGGGUGCACUAGGAGGUGGCUGACAAGGUAUGGGAGGCGGGGUUGCUCUCACCGGAGCGGAUCUUGCCGGAGCCCGAAGCGGAUCGGGGCGGCCGGAGUCGGGGAAGAAGGCCUCCCCGAGGUCUUCCUAGUAGCUAGGCGUGGCUCUGGUGAGGUGGAGGGGUGAUGCUUGGCCGAGAUCGAGCUUGAGGCCCCCUUCUAUAGCCGACCCGAGGCGGUUGCCGCGAUCGGGAUUACUCCGGCGGUGAUUACCGUGAGGCGGUGGUUGAACGGGAGGUUUAGGGGUCGGGGCAGCUGCGGAGAGGUUCACUGGUUCCAUCCCGAGGCUAAGUUUGGCAAAACUUGGGCGCUACUCCACGCUCUCGACGGAAUGGCCUCAUGGGGCUCGUCGGCGGCAGAGAGCGCGCUCUGUGCCUCUCUAGCCACGGCGACGGUGCCGCAGCAUGCACAUGCAAGUGGACAGCCACGCGGAGGCUUCGGGUGGCUUGGGCGGUGCUGGACGGCGCCGAAAGGUGGCGAUGGUCCUUGCUGGCCGCCACGGGUGGCUCUGCCACCGCAGAAGAUGCCGGCGAUGUGGUGCCACGUCGCCACCGACACCUACGCCCGUCUAAACAAUCGUGCGGUGCUCUGGAUAAGAAGAAGGAGCAGUGCGCAAUGAUCCAAGGUGGCUACUGGCGAGAUUGUCGACGGGUUCUGAUGAAAAUGACACCGCCGACUGAAACUGAACACUGAAACUAAACUUUUCUGAAUUUUGCUAGAAAACAGUGCAUGCCAGGUGUUCGAUGAAAUGUUUUUGGCAUGUGGAAAUUUCUUCUGGAGUUGAUCUUUGGUGAGGUGACCUCUCAAUGCACCUUGGGACUGCCUGAUUUAUCUCAGAAUUUUUGGAGAAGAAAAUUAUUGAAUUUCACCAAAAAUGGCAAAUCUGGUCCAAACUUGCAGCAAGCAAAGUUUGAAAAAUUUGAAUUGUGGAAGAGUGGAUCUUGAUGGAUCUAGGUUGGGGGUACUAAGGACUAGUCAGGGGAGUUUGUUUGGGACCAAAAAUCAAAAGGGUUCUGGUGGUUCCUUUGUAAAUCACCUAGGUCCAAAAUAAAAGACAUAAAUUGUUUUGAGGGUAAAAUAAAUAGAACAAAAAUAAAAAAUGGGUUGAACUUGCUGGGAUUGGAUGUUUGGCUUGACCCAUAGUGGAGGGAGGGGUUUUGGAAGAAAAUUUCAACAUGGGACAAGGCAAAAGAGAAAUCUUUAAAAGGUAAAAAUAAUAAAAACCAAAAUCCAUAGGAUUUCUUUUUAAUAGAAAUAAUUGCAAAACCCUCCAAUAUUAUUUGUGUUGAGCCAACACAAUUUUUAAAAAUCCUUAAGACUGAAGAUCAAGGUUGAGAAGGUCCUUUCAAAAAAAAAUUUGUCAUAAAAGAUUUUGAGAAGGAGAGUCCCUCUAAAAAAAUUCAAAUAACCUCCUUUAAAUCAAAUAAAGAUUUUAAUAAAAAUCAAAUAAAAAUUUUGGGGUGUUACAGCACCUACCCCCUUAGGAAAAAUCUCAUCCCCGAGAUUUCAGCUGAUCCUCAAAGAGGUGUGGAUAUUUGUCCAAAGUAAAUCCUCUCUUUACCACGUUGCUUCAUCCUCGGUGUGAUUGCUCCACUGAACUUUGAAAAACUUAAUUGUUUUCUGACAGGUCCUCCUUUCAGACUCCUCCAAUAUUUUUAUUGGAUGUUCCCUGUAGGUGAGGUCUGGUUGCAUGUCAAUGUCCUCAUGAGAUACAUGCUUCUCUGUGUUGCUUACACACUUCCUCAACUGUGAGACGUGGAACACGUCGUGGACGUCUGACAGUUCUUCGGGUAGGUCUAGCUGGCAGGCUACUGUGCCUCUUCGCGCGACUAUGCAGAAGGGUCCGAUGUGGUGCUAGCUUUCCUUUAACUUUGAACUGUUGCAGGCCCCUCAUAGGAGAUACUCGUAGGUACACAUAUUCGCCGGGUUCAAAGCCGACUCCCCGAUGUUUUCGAUCAUAAUAACUCUUCUGUCGGCUUUGAGCUGUCUUGAGUCGGUCCCUGAUUAGCCUAACUUUCUCCUCAACUUCCUUGAGCAUGUCUGGGCUGAAGAUAUGACUAUAUCCUGUUUCUGACCAAUUUAAUGGGGUAUGACAUCUCCGCCCGUACAAGGCUUCAAAAGGUGCCAUUUGUAGGCUGGCUUGGUAACUGUUGUUGUAGGCGAACUCGACAUAUGGCAAGCUUUCCUCCCAACUGGUUUCAUAGGUGAGAACACAUGCUCUCAGCAUGUCCUCUAGAAUUUGGUUCACGCAUUUAGUUUGCCCAUCAGUCUGGGGGUGGUAUGCUGUACUGAAUGCCAGUUGAGUUCCCAGAGCUUGUUGUAAUAUAUCCCAAAAUCUAGAGACGAACUGAGUACCUCUGUCGGAUAUCGUCUUUGGGAUUCCAUGCAGACAAACUAUACGGGAGAGAUAAAGCUUGGCAAGUUUCUGAGUGGUGUGGGUUGUCUUUAUUGGGAUGAAAUGUGCUACCUUAGUCAAUCUAUCUGUGAUGACCCAUAUGGCAUCAUUUCCGUAUCGUGACCAAGGUAGUCCGACAAUAAAAUCCAUUCCAAUUUCGUCCCAUUUCCACUCAGGUAUCCUGUUUGGCUGUAAUAGCCCUGCUGGUUUUUGGUGCUCGGCUUUUAUGCGCUGACAUGAAUCACAACAUGCAAUGAAUGUGGCUAUAUCCCUUUUCAUACCGUGCCACCAAAUUUUUUCCUGAAUGUCCUUGUACAUUUUGGUCCCUCUAGGAUGGAUUGAAUAUGGAGCGGUGUGGCCUUCGGCUAGAAUUUGCUGCUUGAGGUCUUCUAUAUUUGGUACGCAAAGUCUGUCUCCGUACCAUAAUAUUCCGUUAUCGUCUAUGACAAAUUCUUAGGCCUUGCCCAAACUCACUUUUCUUUUUAUGCCUUCGAUGUUGGGGUGUCCAUGCUGAGCCCCCUUAAUCUGUUGCAUUAGGGUAGGCCGUAUUUCCAAAUUCGACACAUUGCCUUCAGUGACCAUUACCAAGUUGAGUUUAGCGAACUCCUGCUGAAAUUCAGGUCUCAAGUUUGGUAGACUGUCGUUGCCCGAGCUGGGGUUCCGACUAAGAGCAUCUGCCACUACAUUCGCUUUUCCUGGAUGGUAGUGAAUGCCAACAUCAUAAUCCUUCACUAAUUCCAACCAGCGUCGUUGUCGUAAAUUGAGUUCUGGUUGUGUGAAAAUAUAUUUGAGGCUUUUAUGGUCUGUAUAUAUUUCACAAUGAUUCCCAAGCAAAAAGUGCCUCCACUCUUUGAGUGCAUGAAUGACUGCUGCCAACUCUAAGUCAUGAGUAGGAUAAUUUUCUUCAUGCUUUCGUAGUUUCCUAGAAGCGUAUGCUACUACUUUGCCUUCUUGCAUUAAUACACAUCCGAGGCCCUUCCGGGAUGCGUCACAAUACACCUCAAAACUUUUGUGUAUGUCUGGUACAACCAAUACUGGUGCUGUUGUUAAUUUCCUUUUGUGUUCUUGGAAACUUUUCUCGCAAGCCUCAGUCCACACAAAUUUCUUAUCCUUCUUGAGUAACUGGGUUAUUGGUUUUGCUAUGGUGGAGAACCCUUCAAUAAACCUUCGGUAAUAUCCUGCCAUUCCCAAGAAACUUUGUACAUCUGUUACGCUGGCGGGUGGUUUCCAACUAAGUACGGCCUUGACCUUUUCUGGGUCUAUGGCAACACCUUCUUGGGUCAAUACAUGGCCUAGAAAACCAACCUGUCUUAACCAAAAUUCACAUUUGCUGAAUUUGGCGUAUAGUUGAUGUUUCCUUAAUUCUCCCAGUACAAUUCCGAGAUGUUCAACAUGCUCUUCUGGUGUCUUGGAGUAUACCAGAAUAUCAUCAAUGAACACCACAACAAAUUUGUCCAUAAAUUUCAUAAACACUUUGUUCAUGAGGUGGACAAAAUAUGCGGGGGCGUUCGUCAGUCCAAACGGCAUUACUGUAAACUCAUAUAGUCCGUAUCUGGAGGUGAAUGCUGUCUUGGGGAUAUCUUCUGUCCGUACUUUUAAUUGA
Molecule: long non-coding RNA, 64023 nt
Filed under: Triticum aestivum (bread wheat)
Lineage: Eukaryota; Viridiplantae; Streptophyta; Magnoliopsida; Poales; Poaceae
Description: long non-coding RNA (TAES_LNC003693)
Rfam family: MIR1120/MIR1122 microRNA precursor family (bases 30819-30933)
Source: RNAcentral